CUUUUACUCUGAUACCUUGAAAUGAGAAAUUUGGAGGUUUUCCACACCAAGCUUCUUGAGAUUACCGCGCUUUCUCGUAGCGAAGAACUUUCCCCAGUUGUAUGCUCUAUACUUUGGUUUUUCCCCCUUCGUCAGCUCCUCCAAGGGCUGCACCCAAAGAUGGUGCGCGGGAUUGAAAAAGAACGGAAUCGAGAACCUUUCCCUCUCUGAAUUCAGUAUCACUCUGUGCUCCACACUCUCAUAAGUUUCGUUGCUCCAAACCUGGUUUAAUAUCAGUAUAAUUAGCCAAAUAGGUGCAAAAUUCGGUGAGCGAAAUAACUGAUAAGCAGGUGCUUAUAAUUCAAAGUUCUUGGGUGGUACCUGAAUUAUAUCCCCAACAUUGAUGAUUUAAGCAUCUGGGGUGGGCUUCACUCGAACCCAUUCUCCGUCGGUUUUUCGCUUUACUUCCAACCCUCCGACAUCAUCCUGGGCAAGGAUGGUUAAGGCUCCGGCAUCCUUGUGGUGACCAACGCCCAGAGCUAGGUGAGGGACAGGGCAAGGUGGGUAGUGAUUGAAGCGGACGAAGCUCGUUGAUUCUUCAAAGAAAAGAUUGAAUCUGUUUUCUGGCAAACCUAAGCUCAGAGAGAUGAGUCCCAUCAGCUUGAAAGCUAGUUUUUCCGUUUCUCUCGCAUAUUCUUCACAGACCUCCCUGUAUAAAUCAGUUCAAUUAGAACAAAACAAACUAAGUAAUUUACUGUAGUGACUGUGCCUUAGCUGGUGAAAUUUGUACCUUAAUUCAGGAGGGUACUGAGGCCACCGAUUGGUCAGCUCUAUGAGCUCCUUGUCCUCAGGAUCAUCCGAAGCAGGGCCGAAGGCGGGGGUUCUCACCACGAAAUCAAAGACUUCUUUCCAGUCCCUAACGUUCUUGGUAUGCUCAGUAUCAAAGUACCCAAAAGGAUUCACCUCAUCUCUACUCACCUUCCUCUUCUCCUCCACUGGCAGAGCGAAGAACGUCCUCGCGGCAUCCCAAAUUUUCCGGCGAGACUCCAAGGGCACCCCAUGGUUGAUGACUUGAAAAAAGCCCCAGUUCUUGCAUGCAUCAGCUAUUUGAGAAACAUGAUUGGAAGCAUUGGCGGAAGAGAGAUCAAUGAGGGGGAUGCCUUCAGCUUCGAUAACAGCGAGCUUAGGCCUAUGUUGGGCGUCUUGGAUGAAGGCUGGAUUGACCUCUCCCAUGGCUGUGGUAGUGAUUAGAACUUAGAAAUGGCAAUUAUGCUCUGGUAGCUGCAGGUGAAGAUGGUUACAGGACUUGGGCAACUCGGCAGGUGGUUUUUAUAGCAUAAUAGGGGUGUUGGUUUAAUACCUUGAACCUGGACAUAAUAUGGGUUACGUGUUAAGUUUUAGUUCGGGGUGUGAGCUCAUGGGUUGCGCAUAUGUUAAUGAGAUUUGGUCAAGUGAUACCUAGCUAUUUCCACGGCACCCUCAAUAUUCAAAUAUUUCAUCCGUACUCGAUUUGGAAGGUUGAUUAGUAAAUCUGAUGGUGUAAUGUCUAUUUUUGAAUUCAAUGCUAUAUAUUUAACGGUGAAGAUAAGAAAAAUAGAAGAGUUGAUAACGUUGAAGAAAAAAUGCCAAAGUUUUAAGAAGGUAGAGUUUUGAUGAGAAAUAGGUAAAAUUAAAAUUGCAUUAUAAUAAUAUAAAUUAAUUAAAUCGGUAAUCACCCAUUUAAUCUCAUUCUUAUCCACAAUUGUUGAUAGUUGAUCCUACAAAAUUCUAAAAAAAUCUUCCACAAAGACAAAUCACAAGAUGUUCAAUAACAUAUAUGCUUUUGCACCAAAAAUUGUAUAAGGGAAAAAAAAAUGAUGCACAAAAAAAAAAAAAAAAAAAUUCUAUAUCUAAUAUUAUUUCAUAGGAAAACUAACUAUAAUAAAUUUUAAAAGCAAAGAGCGUUUUACCAUAUCUAAAUAAUAGAUUAUUAAAUUCUUUAUUUUUCAAUUGGAUAUUUUUUUUUAAAUUAGAAACAUCUAUAUAAAAAUAAAAAUCACUUUAAAAAAAUUUUAAAUUUAAGAUAAUAAAUUUUUUAUAAUAUUUUAAUUCUUUUAAAUAAUUUUUAAAAUUAUUAUUUUUUCAAUAUAAAAUUUUAAGAGUUUUUGUAUUUUAUAUAUAAGUUACUAAUAUUCUCUUAUUUUAAACAUAGAAAAUAAAAAAUGUAACCAAAUGAAUUAGAAAAUAAAAAAGUUGAAUAAAAAUAGUCUAACCAUCUUAAACCUAAUAAUGUUUGACAGAAAACACUUAAAUAUACCUUGUAAUUUUCCUCACUGGUCAGCUCCUCCGAAGGCUUCACAUUCACAUGGUGCGCCAGUAAGAAGAAGAAUGGAAUCGAAACCCUUUCCUUCUUGUGUCGACCCACACUGAGAGCGAGCUCCAGCCACGAGCACGAUGGAUGGUGAUUGAGUCGGAUGAAGCAUUAGCCUUCAAAGAAUUCAUUCAACCGAUCCCCCACCAAGCCUAAGCUUAAGGAGAUGAGUUCCAAGAACUUGUAAGCUAAUUUUUCUAUUUCUCUAAUAUAGUUUUUCCAAAUUUUCCUGAAAAUAAAUCAUUAUAUAAAAUAUAUCAAUACUCAAAAUAAAUUUAAUAAAAUCUUGUCUUGCCUUUAUGUCUCUAGUUGAGUCUGUUUGGCUUCAAGCUGUGCAUUUAUGUCUCCGGUUGAGUUUGUUAGGCUUUGAGUCGCACCUUUACACCUCUAGUUGAAUAUGUUCGACUUUGAGCCAUGCCUUUACGUUUUGAGUUGAGUCUAUUCGGCUUUGAGCCACGCCUUUACAUUUUAGUUGAAUCUGUUCGAUUUCAAGCCGUGCAUUUACAUCUAUAAUUGAGUCUAUUCAGCUUCAAAUUGCAUCUUCACAUUUUUUGUUGAAUCUGUUCAGCUUCAAGCCACUCCUUUAUGUCUCUAAUUAAAUUUGUUUGGCUUUAAGUUUCACCUUUAUGCCUUUAAUUGAGUUUGUUCGGCUUUUAGUUGCGCUUUUACGUUUUGAGUUGAGACUAUUUGGCAUCGAGUUGCAACUUUAUGUUUCAAGUUGAAUUUGUUUAGCUUCAAAUCGUGCCUUUACAUCUCUAGUUGAGUUUGUUCGACUUCAAGUCAUGCCUUUAAGUCUCUAGUUGAGUUUUUUUAGCUUUGAGCUGCGCCUCUACAUCUCUAGUUGAAUUUGUUUGGCUUCGUAUCACAUCUUAUGUUUCGAAUUGAGUUUAUUCGACUUCGAGUUGUGCCUUUAUGUUUCUAGUUGAGUCUAUUCAGCUUCAAGCUGCACCUUUACUUUUUGAAUUGAGUUUGUUCGGCUAUGAGCAAUGCUUUUACAUUUCAAGUUAAGUCUGUUUGGCUUUGAGUUAAGCCUUUACGUCUCUAGUUAAGUCUAUUCAACUUCGAGCCGCAUCUUUCAUUUUUGAGUUGAGUGUGUUUGGCUUUGAACCACACCUCUAUGUUUCAAAUUAAGUCUAUUCAUCUUCAAGUCGCACUUUUAUGUCUUUAGUUAAGUUUGUUCAGCUUCGAGCAAUGCCUUUAGGUUUGAAGUUGAGCCUAUUUGACUUCAAGCCACACCUUUACAUCUCUAGUAGAGUUUGUUUGGCUUCAAGCUAUGCCUUUUUGUUUCGAGUUUAGUCUGUUCAGUUUUGAGCCAUGCCCUUACGUUUCAAGUUAAGCCUAUCCGGCUUCAAGUCGCGUCUUUACAUUUUGAGUUAAGACUAUUCGACUUCAAGCUAUGUCUUUACAUCUUUAGUUGAGUUUGUUCAACUUCAAGCUACGCCUUUACGUUUUGAGUUAAGUCUAUUCGGUUUCAAGUUGUGUCUUUAUGUUUUGAGUUGAGUCUGUUUGGCUUUAAGUCACACUUUUACGUUUUGAGUUGAGUCUCUUCAACUUUGAACUACACCUUUAUAUAUCCAGUUGAGUCUGUUCGAAUUUGAGUCACACCUUUGAGUUUUGAGUUUAGUCUGUUCGGCUUUGAGCCACACUUUUACAUCUCUUGUUGAGUCAUAUUUAGCUUCAUUCUACGCCUUUACAUUUCCAAUUGAGUUUAUUUAGCUUUGAGUUGUGCCUAUGUUUUAAAGUUUGUUCAAUUUCGAGCCACAUCUUUAGCCUUAUUAAGUUUGUUCAAGUUUAGUUGUGCCCUCACCCAUAUCCUUAGUUUUAAGUUUAUUCAGCUUCAAGCCAUGCGUUUGUCCUUGUUAAGUAAGUUCGGCUUCGAGCCACGUCUUAGUUUUGAAGUUGUUUAUCCUUGAGCCACACCUUCCUUUCUUUUUUAGUUCACUUAGGGUUUUCUCCUUCCUCGAGUUUAUUAGUGCAUUCGAGUUCAUUUUUCUUUAAGUUGAUCACUCUUUAUCUUUGUUGUCCUUGAAUUGUUCAUUGUGUCACAAUUCAGUGUUUUUCAUUGCAUAUAUACUCCCCACAUUGUCUAUAUUUUAUCCUGAUGAGUUUCUUUCCCAAUACGUGACCUCGAUCUUUGAGUUUAGCAUGCCAUGUGCUAAGACAAUUUCGAGUGCUCUUUUGUUCUUCAAUGCAAUUCACUUCAUACCAUUCAUCACUCAUGUUUCACUGUUUGUGUUCAUUUCAUUCGUGAUCUACAUCGGAGAGAGACAUAUUUGUUGGCCCUUUACUUUGUCCUAUAAUACAUAUUUUCACAUUUUUUUAUUUUCCUCUUGCCCCAUACUCAUUUUUGGUGCUCGUUUUGGAUCCUUCUUGUUUGAUCAUUCAUGGUCCCUUAUUGGUCCACGUUUACUUGACUCAUUAUUCAUUUUUUAGUCGCAUUUUAGAGGCCAUGUAGGAGGAAUUUUGAGUACAUGCAAGCUUAUUUUUUAGAGACCCUUAGUAGUUGGCUCAUAUGAGGACACGCCUCCUCACACUACUACAAAAAUCAUUUAUGGUGUCACUAUUUAUAGUGACACUUUUAAAAUAAUGACACCAUAUAGCUUAAAAUCCACAAAGGUGACACAUCAUAUAAAAAUUUUCAAUUAGGAUCAAUGAUAUUAAUUUUAGGUUUAUAAUGUCAGUUGCCAAAAAAUGACACCAUAUAAAAUAUUUUUUUUCUAAAUAUUAUAACUCAAUUGGCCCACUUUGAGAAUAAUGAUAGUAUAUAAAAAAAUCAUUGUUUCCACAUACCCACAAUCCAAAAAAAUUUCAUUCCAUAACCCUAACCAAAAUUUUUUUCUACCUCUUCUCACACCCAUAGUUAACACACAACUGUUCUUCUCUGCUUUGUGGACUCUCAGGUAACCCAAAAUCUCUUAGAUCUAUCAUUUUCAUUUAUUUUUUUAUUAAUGUCAAAAUCUUUAUGAACACAAUUGAUUUAUGUUUAUUGAUUUAAUAUAUUUGUAAUAUGGAUUGUGUAAAUAGUGUUUUUUUAUUGAGUUGUAGGAAAGUAAAAACUAGGUUUAACAUUCCACCAUAUCUUCUGGUUCAUUGUUAAACCCAUAAACCCCAAAAUGAAUGAAAAUAAGAAAAAUGAAUUAUUUUUAAAUAUCUUUUAUACUCAAGAUAAUAUAUAAACAUUUUACAAUACAAAAUUUUUUUUUGAUCUUGUAGGAAAUUUCCUUUGAUAGGAUUUUCUGUUUGUUUUCAAGGAAUAUUGUAGUAUAUUGUGAUGAAGAUAUUGAUUGGUGUUAUUUGAAAAAUAAUUUUUUAGAAAAUUAUUCUCAAUAUUAUCAUCUCCCACAAAAUGAAAAAUGAAAUAGUUUUCAUAUCAUAUUGGAGUCGGUUUGGAAUGUUGGAAUUAACAAUGAGAAAUUAAUUUUAUUUUUUAUUUAUUAAUGUAAAUGAAUUGUUUUUUUUUUAAAUUUAAAUAGGAAUGAAAAUUUUUAUAAUUAUAAAAAUGAUCAAAUAUUAUAUUUUGAUUUUUUUUUCUAUUCUUUUACAUGGUAUUAUGGUUAAUAUCUCAUCUUGUUCUAUAUAUAUUUUUUAUAUUCUUAAAAUAUGUUUUUUGCUUUUUGUUUUUACUUUCUUUUCUUAUUGUUUUUAUAUGUGUUGACCAAAAUUUAGAGUAAUUUGAGAUUGGCGAUAAAAUUUUCCUUUCAAGGUUAGAAAAUUUCUAUAAAAUCAUUUUAUUACAUAAUUUUUUCAAUUCCUUCCAUAAAACUCUUCCUUUUUCCUUUUUUAAGAAGAUGUUUGAUAAUUUUCUUUUGAUUUCUAUGAAAUUUCCUUUUAUUGGACUGUUUGUUUAUUUUCUAAGAAUAUUAUAGUAUGUUAUGAUGAGGAUAUUGGUUGGUGAUAUUUGAAAAUUAAUUUUUGAGAAAAUUAUUCUCAAUAUUGUCAUCUGCCACAAAAGGAUUUUAAAAGUAUGUUUUAUUUUUGCCUUCUUUUCUUAUUGUUUUUAUAUGCAUUGACCAAACUUUGGAGUAAUUUGAGAUUGAUGAUGAAAUUUUCCUUUCAAGGCUAGGAAAUUUCUAUAAAAUCCUUUUAUUACAAUUUUUUUUUUUUUCCUAUUCCUUCCAUAAAACUCUUCCUUUUCUUCAUUUUUCUUUUUUGAUGUUUGAUAAUUUAUUGAUCUAAAGAAUAUUAAAAGUAAAAAAUUUAAAAUAUUGAAUAUUUUUUCCUUUGAUGUUGUUAUUUUAUUAUUAUUUUUAUUUGAACAUAUUUUUCAUAUCCAAAUUUUCUAUUAAUUAUUUUACUUUUAAAAAAAAUAUCAAUUGAAGUUAUGACUGAAAAAUCAAUAAUUUUUAUGAAAGGUUCUUUAAUUCUUUCUCAUACUAAUUUUUCUCUUAACAUUUCUUAAUAGUGAAUUAGGUUUUUUUGUUUUAUAUACACAAUUUUCAUGCUUGUUAUAAUAUCAUGUCCUAUCAUAUUAGUAGUUGAAAACAUUUUUAUAUUUUGUUACUAAAAUUUUAUUUUAUAUAAUUUACAUGAAUUUUAAUGGACAUUGUUAUUUCACAAAAUGAACAUUAAAAAAAAUAUUGAAAUUAAGAAAAUCCUUCCAAGAAAUAAAAAAAUAUAAAAAGAAUUGGAUGUUAAAAAUGAUUUUUAAAAGCAUUAUGAAUUAUAAAAAAUAAAUUUAAAAGAUUAGUAUUUUCUAAAAUUUUAGAUUUAUAUUUUGAUUUUGUAGUUUUGAUUUAUUUCAUAUUUUCUUGAAUUGUUUUUAUUUGAGUUCAAAUGUGACUACUUUGUUAUGAGAUUCAUUAAAAGGAUAAUUGUUGAUUCUACAGUUAUUGCAUUAAAGGUUUUACUCAUUUAAUGAAUUGUACAUAGUUUCAUACUUCUAAUUAUUGUGAUAUUAAUGUUAUUUUCAUUUGAUUUUAGUUUGAUGACAAAAAACAUAUUCUCAAGUAGACUUUGAUGAAAUAAGAGGAGAAUGGAUUGCUUUUGUGUUAUAACUAAUCAUGAAUCAUGUUGAUGUAUCGUGAUCAUGCAUGGUGAGUCCCUUAGUUGUUAUAUAAAUUUUCCAUUGGUAUUGUAUAACAUUACUUAUUCUUUAUGAACUAUUUUUAUAUCAAAAUAGGAAAAAGAAAAAAGGAAACAUUAGUACUUAGAUUUGUUUAUUUUUUUAUAACAUCACUAUGGACCCCGCAUUUUCGGCUCGAUGCGUUUCCCACUCGAUGGCGAGCUCGAUUUUUAAUUUUGAAAAAUGAUUUUUAUUCAUUAAAAAUGACUUGGAGUCGCCACUUAUUUUUGUUUUAUUUUUAAAGGGUAAACAAAAUAAGAAAAAAAAACCCUAAGUGUGACUCCUUAUUUUAGAAAAGGCGAUCUACGAAAAAACCGGAUUGGGCUCGGGGGUUAGGUUACUUAUCGGGAAGGUACGGUAAAGACCGUAGCACCCCUCUAAGUCCCUAAAAUCGGGUCUUUACUAAUAGAAUGAAGCUGACGUGGCAGUCAACAAGAAAAUCGAUGAAUAGUCAAAUCAAUCAUGCACAAUAUGAGAAGCAAAACAUGUAUAAAGAAUGAGCGAAAUAUGAAUAGAUGCGUACCUGGACGGCAAUCACGAACGCGCUAUCAUGAAACAUGGUUAGUGAACAAUGAACAGAUAUAAUUAAGCGCAUAUCAAGGAAUAGAGUAAAUCAAUCAUGCAUAGCAAAUAAAUAAAUCAAUUAGUUAAUCGAUUAUAAAUCACAUAUGUGGGGCCCCACCAAAGUCCAUUUAUUUUGCAUGAUUUAAUUCCAAUAACUCCAUUACUUGGAAUUACGGAAAUGAAUUCUUGCUUAUUUUAAAACGUUUUAAAACGAAGGAGAUGUGGAAAUUAUUUGCUAGAAGGAAAGAUGACAACAAAAUUUUAUUGGAAAUGAGAUUUUUGAGUGAUCCUAAAAAUUCUAAAGAUGAAAAUUUGAAAAAUAAAUAAAUAAAUAAGAAUAAAAUAAAAUUAUUUGAAAAUCUAGAAAUUGGAAACUAUUUGAAAACGGGAAAUUUGGAAAUUAAUUUAAAAUUGAAGAUAAAGAAAUAAAUAGAUAAAUAAAAAAAUAAAUAAAGGACACGUGACUCAAAAUGUGGUCAUGCAUAGUUGCUUGUAAAUUGGACAGCCAGUUGCUUCUCAUACUCUCAGCGUCAAGAUGUUCCUUGAUGUAGUUGCCCCAUGUGUCAUCCUUAGCCGUGAUAAUGCAUGUGUUUUCAUCCCAAUUAAAGUCACUUUGAUCAAGAAGUGCCUUGAUAGUGACAUAUUGCAUCCUCAAGACAUCAUACCGAUUCCUCAGUUGGUCCUUAUCCAUGGAUUCCCGCGAAAUAAAUCUGUUACCAGAACAUUGUAACCAUUGCAUGCAACGCGAUAUGCGGAGUCCCUUGUGGAUGAAUUUUCGAAGCCAAAGGCAUCAAACAAGAGCAGUAUCCCUGCCAACUGCGUGUUCAUCCAGCCGCUCAAUCACGCCACUAACAUGGGCACAGCGGAAAGCAUCAACACAACCUUAAUUCCUCUCUUGUAGCUGUUUAGCAGAUCCAAGUCUGUACAAGACUUGAUCUAUGGCAACGUCAUGAGGAUAUAGCCGCGGGGUAGCAUAUGAAUCCAAUCAAUGGGAAAUGGGCAUUAGGAAUGGUGGUCAGGCUUUGCAUGAUUUCAUACACGUGAAUGAGUGAUGCUGGGACCUUCAUGGAGGCUUUGAGUGGAUCUUUGGGCGGCGGUGUAGAAAGAGAAAGGUAGCAGGAAGAAAAGAAUGGGUGUGGGCUUGGUGGUAUGAAACGUGUGGUGUUAAAGAGGAAUGUGGCGUACAUGAGGAAAGACAUGGUGAGUGGAAUGAGCUAUGGGCAUGAGAGAAAUAGAGAAAAUGGGUAUGAAGGUUAAUGAGAGAGAACGGGCGUGUGAGGGUGGUAAAGGAAAAUGGAUGAUGGAUGCACAUAGGUGGAAAUGGGAAUGGAUUUGAUAAAGCAUGAAGGUAGGAAUGGGAUUCGGGUGAUAUUAGAUUACCAUGCAUGGAGAAUGUAUACGUGGAGGUCUAUUAUGCAAAGGAACUAAAAACGGGUCAAGUGAAGGGCUGUUUAGGGAAUAUGGCAUCAGUUUCAGGUUGAGGGGAUGGGGCCCUUGGGCCAUUUGGCUACCCACAAGUAUGAUCUACAAAAUAGGGUCCUUAUGUCAGGGUCAACUUUCGGAUUUUUGCAAAGCUGAUGCUACCAAUUUAAACUCUGAUCAAUCAGUGUCCGCGAUCUUGAGUCCUUCAAGCUGAUGCAACGCGUCUUUAGGAAGGUAGAGCCUCCAAUGAAUACUUUAGAUUUCGAUUUUUGAACAAUCAUGGCAGAACCCUUCAUCGAUUGGCAUUAUCAUUACCCUGGGAUUGCAGCAAGAUGCAUGGAAGGCUUCUUCACUAUUAUCACAAAUGAGCAUAUACAAUAUAUUUUCUGAAUGACCACACGAUUUACAUGGUUGGGAUGAGUUGCUAUUCCCACUAACUCCCAGAACUUCAAGAAGCUCCUGACUCCUCAGUAUAGAAAUGCGUGUAAUCAUUACCCUCUUGUUUGGCAUGACCUGUGCAUACCCAAGAAUGACACCUACUAACCAACCAAUUGAUCCUUAUUGCAUUUAGAACUCAUCUGCAUCCCCUAGUCAAUUUCAGUUUCUGACAGUUAAACCAAAAAUCCCCAGUCUCAGCAAUGACAGUAGUCUCACUUGACAACAUUUUCUGUAUAUGCUGGAACAGAACAUAAACCCUCAAAGGCUCCUCGGGAUCAGACGUAGGAGACUGUCCCUCAGGAACGUAAACUCUAUGGUAGAACUCAUAGGCAGUGAUAUUGCAUUCGAGCCUCUUGGAGAAUGACUUGAAGAAAUCUUUCAUCAAAAUGCACCCAAGCUCAAGCCCAUAAGCACACCAAACACCAUUAUUGGGUUCGUUACAUCACCAUGCUACGGAGUUUAUACAACAGGAAGCUCUAACUGAUGAUGGUUCUGGUAGUGAUUUGCCAAUGGGAACUUGGCCAUCAAGUGAACCCGAUAUCAGAAGCUGAAGUUAUUACCUUGUACUCUUCUAUUCCCCCAUUAUCAGCAAUUCCAAUGGAAACAGUAGGAGAGCCUCAAGACUGUGUAUCCAUUCAAUAACUCUGUUUCUCAGUCAGGAUGCAAAAAACUCCCCAAUGAUUCUACAGCUGCAACCACAGGAGCCCCACUACUACCAGUUCCUUCACCCAUUCUGACAGCAACCAAAACCAGACCAAUGACUUGAACUUUAGACUUCCCCAAUCCAUUAAAUCCAGAAACCACUUGGAGUUAGAAACAUUUUCUACCUCAUCCUAGAACUUUCAGGUAUUUUACAAAGUAAUGGUCGGUAUUUUUCAAAAGCAAAAAGAAAAAAAGGUAAGACUCAAGAAACAGAGCAAACUCAGAAUUCGUUAAUCAAGACUCCAUCUCAUGCUGCACUCAAUGGAUCUAAACAGGUGAGACAAGCAGGGAGCAGUGGCAUGAUUAAUCAAUCUCAAAAAUAAUCCAUAUAUCGGUUAUUGACAGGAAAAAACAAAGAAAGCAGAAAAGAACCCAAACAGAGCAAAUACAAAAACAAACUCAAAUUCAGCAAAUCAAUCCACAAUCAAGAAAAACUAACAAUGCUCAAGUAGCCUGAGAAAAAUGAUGAAGAACAGUGAUAAUGAAAAAUACCCUAAAAAAAAGAACACGAUACUUCAUACCUGUGAAACUCCUCUCCGAUGAAGCUCACCUACCAAACCAAUCUGCUCCCAUCCUUGGCACUAGAACCCCUCUCCGUAGCAGCCUAAGCUCAAGGAAAUCCCUCUCCAGACCGAUCUCUUCUUUCUUCUCAAGUUCUUUUCUCCUCCUCUCAAAAUAUCUCUCCCUGAAAAACGGCAGCCAAAACCUCCCUCUGCAGCUGGCCUGCCCCCGUAACAGAAUACCCCCCUCUAGCUUUCUCACUACCCUCAAAAGCACCCUCUCUCUCCUGCAGCUGCAAGCCUCCACUACCCCCAUGCAGCUGGCAGCCUCUACUCCUCUAACGGCCAGCAGAUUCUCCUUCUAGAAAAUUCUUUCCCUUUUCCAGGUGUCUUUCCCUGAUUGGCCCAUCAAUUCCACUAUAGUGAUUCUACAGUGACCAAUCCUAAGAAGGCACGUGGCCUUAUGAGAUUGCGACACUUGGCAAACACAGGCUGCCAAAAAGUGAGCCCCCAAAUGGGGGUCUACAAUCACAUUUUUAUUUUCAAUAAGAACUCUAAAACUCAUUAAACUAUAAAAUGCAGAUAUACACUCUUGAGAGGACAAUAUGAAGAAUAAAAAGAAAUAAGAAAGAAGCAACAAGAUUUGGAUUUUUAGAUGUGACUCUUAUGUCAUACAUUAUACGACAUAAAUGUUAUUUUAUUUGGAAUUGAGAAUUGUGGGUUUUUUUAUGCAACUCUUGUGUCAUUUGGUUAGCCGGUUUUAUGCAUAUGAAACGUAAGUAUACAUGAAUGUUGGGAUGCUUAACAUUUCUAAAUCAUGUUUUAAUGUGUAUUCACUUUUCUUUUUUAGUUUUGGUGGGUUUGAUAUACUAUGUUUUGUGAACAUUUGAUAUACAAAUAUUAGUGGAUGAUGUAAUGUAUUAUAGGUUAAUCCAUAAGCAUAAAGAAAAUAUAAGUUAAAUGUAAUAUGAUUAUUAUAUUUAUGGACAAAAUUUACACACGUUGAUCUUAUUUAUUAAUAAGCAUUACAAAAAUCUAUAGGCUAGUCAACAAAAAACAACCAUAUCUUCUAUAAUCAUUUACAAUGAAGUGACACCAUAAUUCAAAGGUGAUGCAUUUAACGUGACAUCAUAACUCAAAGGUGAUGCAUUUAAUAUGACACCUUAUAUAUCUCACAUAACUCUAUAUCAAAUUAAGCAUCACUAAAAAUAUAUGGUGUCGCUUCUAAAUGCGUCACAAUUUAUCUGUUUUGGUGUCGCUUCCAAAUACGUCACCAAUUGGUACCCUCUAUGGUAUUGGUGGAUAAGGUGACGCUAUGUUGUAGCGACACCCUAUGUUUAGGGUGACUCGUUAUAAAUGUCACCAUAUAUGUUUUUCCUUGUAGUGUCAUUGGGAAGGUUUUUUCCAUUUUUUAGAGGGGUUUUCUAAAGGCUUCUAGGGUGAGGACACUGUUCUCAUAUUGGCUUUUUUUCCCCCUUUUUAGAGGGGUCUUCUAAAGGCUUCUAAGGUCAACUAGGAGAGCAUGUUGAUUGAUGCUUUGAUAUGGAUACCAGAUGCCACAUUUCAUCUUGUUGAACACUGGUUAGCUAUGGACUUGUUACUGCUUUACUCUUCUGUUUCGAGUUAACUUUGGAAAUGAAUCUGAAUAUAGACUAGUAUUUGCAUCUUGAUGUUUAGAGAAUCAUAUUUUAGUUGUUGUUUAAAAUUCAUUUUGGCAUGUUCGAUUGCUUCAAGCUCAUUUAUACAAUAAUGAAAUGGAGAUUUAUAUAUUUGUUAUUGGGUUGGCUCUCUGUUUGGUUAUCUUUAAGUUCUGCAUCUUUUCUUUUCUCGUUGCCUUAUCUUCUCUGGGGGGUGUCGUUUGAGAAAUACAUAGUGGAAAAAAUGGGAAGCUGAAGGCUUAUCCUGGCAUCGACCUCGCGUUAGGGAACGACUUGAUCGAAGAACAUAUGAAUUUUUCAAAUACCCAGAACUCACAUCAAAAGAAGCAUCGGAGUCAAGGUCAAACACAUCAUCUGACAAGGAAUAUACCUUUGCCUUUGGUGACUUUAUUGACUUCUGCAUGAUGGACAUCCGAGGGUGGGGACUGGAAGAGAAAUGAUGAAUUUGCCCAAGAUAGUUUGUCUAGAAAGGAACUUGUAUUAAAUGAUGAUUACCCACUAUGUCAGAUGUUGAAAUUUGGGUAUGACAACUCCUGGUGGCAUCAGAAAGAUGAGUUGCACAAUCCUUCUCACAGUUGAAAGCUUGACCUCCGAAGUUGGGCUUUUUCAUGGCCAGACAAGAACAGUGAUCACAAUAGUAUGAGCCAAGCCUGUCACGACCCAAAUUCUAGGUGAACUUAACCAUGACUCCAAAUCAAAGGUUUAAACUUAAAGGUUACAUCUAUUCAAUCUAGUAGUCAAUCCUGAUAACUUGAUUUUUUUUUCUUGAUAAAACAAUAUCUAAUCCCAAAUCAAUUUAUUAAGCUAAUAACUUGAUUUUUUUUCUCAAUAAAACAACAUCUAGUCCCAAAUUAAUUUAUUAAGCUAAGAUUUACUAUAUCAUAUUAUUUGAUUUUAUUUUUCAAAAAUCAACCAUUACACUAUCACUUAUUUGCAAGUAUAAUAAAUCUGUCAAACAUCUUAUCACCCAAAAUGAUAACCCAAAUAUUUACAAAAAAAAGUUUUACAAAUUAAUAAAAUAUAGUCUAAGUUAUAAAAGUUCUUAUAAAUUAAAUUAGUAUGUGCUAAAAUAUAAGAUAACUGAAAAAAAAAAAAAAAAAAAAAAAACCAUUAUUAUUAUGGUUCCUUAAAAACUAUAUUUGCAUCUAAAAAUUUUAGAAAAUAAAGGGAUGGACAUUUCCACAUUACUUAGUAAGGUAUUUUACACCCACACAAAUUAGAAAUUCUAAGUCAAUAAAACACAAUCAUAUAUCAAAGUGUAAUUUUACAUCUAAUGUACUACAACUAUAUACAUUUAAACUAAUCAAAAUUAUCACUAACCAUAAUCAGACUCCAAAUAAUACAAAUAACAUUUAUUAUCUCCCAAAAACAUAAUGUGUAAUUUUGUUUCCAAAGAAAAAUAUAAAAUAAAAGUUUUAGGGUUAAACCACCCUACAUCAAAUUUGAAAAUCUAAUUGUUAAAACUAAAAUCAGACUCCGUAAAAAUGUUCUUUAUGUUAAAUAGAGUGUUUUGCUAAAAUCUCAUGCAAAACAGAAUUCAUUUGGCUUGUCGGAUGACAACCCAAAUAUUUGUUGCACCUUCCUUGUUUCUUCUCUUCCUUUGUGUUUCCGUUUGCACUCUUCUCUCUACGGAUCUGGUAAAUAGGGUAGCCCCUGGUACGCUUGGGGCUGGAUUGAAUCCUAUUCGAACUAUAUCUAACUUGAUCUUGUCCAAGCUAGGAAGGUUUUUGGUCUCGAUGACAUUGGAAGUUUCAUCAUUGCUAAAGAAAGGGGCGGCCAAAAAGGCUUAGCGACGACCCUCUCUCGACUUAAAGGAAACGACUUGUCCCAUCCAAUGCCCUACUUUUAAGUGCUCGGUAUGUUCACUUAAUCAAAUCUAGAAGAAGCUUGGCCUCUGUAGAGCAUGAAAAGGCUAGUUUUGAAGCUUUUAAUCGAGGACUUAUUUGCCCUAAAGCCUGACUUCUUAGGAAGAGAAAUGGGCUUGACUUCUUCAUCAACCUCGGAAUCGCAUUCUAUCACACUGGUGGUACUUCUUGUUGAAUUAAAAGAUUGGAUGAGUCUUUUUGUACCCACCCGCCACCCCUGUUUGAGAGUGAUUAAAUAUCAUAACUUCCUUAAUGGACCUACGGACUAGCUAAGGUUUACUUACAUAGUUGUUCUUUCUUUUCUCAAUUUCAAGUUAAAGUUAGCGUUUUUCAGCUUACUGUUUGCUUUGGUUGAGUAGCCGCCUUAUGACCCUUUGCUUUUGAAUGAAAUCAUCUAGAACCUCUCAGAUCGGAUUCCAAUCACCUUAGUGAGUCUCCUAGGUGCGAAGCCAUUCUUUAAGCCCAAAACAAAAGGAGAAGUGAAGUCACUAUCUAGACAAAGGGGCUUGCCUACUUAUAAGGUAGGAGUUCACACCGGGGAAUCGCUUUCUUAAUUAAUUAAAAGCGAGCCAAACUCACCACCUCAUGUACCAAAGUCAAACGGUUGUUCUUCCUUCCCCGCUCCCUUUUUCUCUACAUAUGUGAUGGCGGGCAGAGCGCUCUAUAUGACCGGUGGUGGGUUACCAGAGAAGAUGGGACAACUUCUUUCUCUCUUGCCUUGCUCAAUCUUCCUUUUCUGAUUGAAAGUAGCAAGCCACACCACUACUGGUACAGAGGUCGGAUAGAAGGUUGCUUUUUCUAUAUGUUCAGGCGAAGAACAUCUACGGCACAGUCUUCGCCAAGCAAGAUGAUGUAACUCCUCAAAACAUAAAAAGAGCUCUUAUAUAUGUAAAAACAUGAUAUAUGUGUAAAUGAAUUAUAGCCAUUUUCAAAUAGAUCAGGAUCGUCAGAUGUUUGAAAUGGAAAGUCAAUUUUUCUAUAUGCAUGUAGAUAUCUAUAGGGGAUUAUAUGAAGGGGAUGUUAUUAUUUUAGAUAUAAUCAAUUCCCUUCUCGGAGCCCACUAAGAUCCGGAUCUCCUACGGAAAUGAUUUAGAAGAUCCAAAACCAAAAAUAGUGGUAUUUGCUAGCAACAACAUAAUGGAGGCAGUCAAUCAAUAUAUAUUGAUCUAAAAUCUGAUUCAAAUCCAAUAUAGCACCUAUGGGUACAUAAAAGAAAGGCAAGAGAGAAAAGAAGUCCAUACUUUUCAACAAAGCUUUAAGUGAGUAGGGGUGUAGCAGAUUCAUGCACGUCGAAUAUAAAUGCAGUUGGAUGAGUAGUCGCGGAUUCACAAUGCCGGUUAAAAAGCCAAUCUUAGGGUUGCAUUCACUCCCCUUCUAUAUCUUGCAUCUAUAGUAUUUUUGUCCUGGUGGAUCUCUUUAUCAUUUAAUAAAAGUUUGGAAUCUUGGGUUACUAAUUGGUGGAAUACUAGGCAAUCUAAAACUUUUUUGAAUGAUAUUCAAGAAAACAAUCAAUUUCCCAUCAUUUGCACUAUGAAUGGAAAUGAAAUUCUAGAUCUAGAAUCAGAUGAAUGUGCAACAGUCAAUUUCCUCCCUCACAACCUAAUUGUCCACUAAAAACAACCUUUUUUACUAUACGCUAUUUGGCCGCUAGAAGAACUUCAGUUCUUAUAGGUAAAUGCUCAAUACCCAAGUAGGCCUACAAAGUUGAUCAUGAUCAAGUGCUUUUUGGGUCGUCUUAGACCUUGCAAUAUCUCUCCGGCCCUCUAGCACUCUGUUAUGGCUCAAUCACUUACUCUAGUUCUGGAGUUCUAGGUCCUCUAGCUAUUAGUGCAGGUAGCUCUCCUUCUGGUAAUGCAUUAUAGGUUGUCUUCCUUCCACCUUCCUGUUUUCAAGAAAGCUUAUUUUCUUUCUAAGAAAAAUCAUACAAUCUCGUAUGAGAACGGGAUUGAUGGGAGGCAUAUGCUCCCAGGCUACACAAUGUCUUACAGGGCUUACCCAGUUAGAAGGUAUGUAACUAAAGUCUCAAGAGAAUUGAAAUCGACGAGAAAUCAGAAUCAAUGUUAGAGAUUAGACUUGGCAUGGAAAAAGGAGUAUAGUAAGAUGAUAGAGACCUCGCACGAGAUGCUUACUCGGAUUCAUGCCCAUAAAGAGUAGAAGAUUCAACACAAGUGCAAGAAUAGGUUUCACAGUUAAGAAAGGUUGAGAUUCAGGUGAGUGAGUGAGUCCUCACUGACUUGAGCGAUUUCGAUCACCUAGCAGUUUAUUUGGUAGGUAACAUCGCUAAAGCAUAUCAUCUGAUCUACAAAUGAAGGAAAUCAAAGUGAGACGACACCGUCCUCUGUAACGCAACGAUAGUUGGCCCUUUAUCAUCAACUAUUUGGUAGACUUGGUAAAAGAUGUAAGGCUUUAGCUAGUACACGAAAGUGCAUACCAUGAUUCUUCUGUCUAUCAAUAACUGCAUGCAUUGCACGAUGGAUGUGAAGAAGUAGGCCAUUAUCUCGACAAUAAUGAGCCAAGCUAGUAUUUGCAGUGAAUCCCCCUGUUAAGUAGUCACAUUAAUGGAACAAGAACACAUUAGCGUAUGAAACAGAGCUGAAAGCGCGAGUGCACAAUCUCAAAAACGGCAAAUUCACGUUCUACUUCCUCAAUCUCGAACUCUGUCUAUUGGGAUGAGCUCCCCUUACCUGCGCUAUUCUAUGAACGAACUUCCUUUAUAAACCAUAAAACUGGAACAAUCACUGUUCCAGGGUCUGUCUCAGAGUUCUAUCUCGUGCUUGACAUCAAUUGCAUCCAAACCUUUAAUCGGGUAUACUUUCCACAAUAACAAGCGAGUCAUAGUUAGGUAAAAGUUAUACAGAAAGAUGACAUCGUUGGCGAACUUGAAGCUAGUUAGGUAAAUCCCCUUAUAUUCUUCUUUCUUCUCCCAUAAGACAUUCCUUAUUAUUAUUAUUAUUAUUAUUUUCAUUUUCUCAAUUUCUUUAUCUUUUCAACUUUAAGACACCAUUUUGCACUUCUUCUUUUUUAUUAUAAUUAUUAUUCUUUAUCAACCAUACCAUGUUAAGAAAUUUAUUUAUUUUAAUCCAAAAAUCUACUUAAAUACAAUUUCAUACUUUUCUUAAUAAAUUAUAUAUAUAUAUAUAUAUAUAUAUAUAUAUAUAUAUAUAUAUAUAUAUAUAUAUAUAUAUAUAUAUUAUUUCUUAUUAUAACAAAUUUAAAAUGUCACAUGUAUCAUUUUUUUAAUAAAUCAAAUUAUUAUUCUUUAUUUCAUAUUCUACAAUUAUAAAUUAUACUCAAUAUAUGAUUUAUUGUCUUACGAAAAAUAUACUGCUAUAUUCUUAAUUAAAUUUAUUACAAGUCUACUUUUCAAAAAAAAAUUAAUUUGACUUUAAUUACUUGAAACAUUUUUAUUAUGAAAUUCAUUUAGAACAUGAUUUCAUUAAUUAUAUAUUUAAAAAAAAUCAAUUUUAGAAAAAAAUCUGAAACAUAAAAUAAUUCUUCAACAUCAAGAAGCUGAAAUUCAUAAUAAUAUUUAAUCCUUUAAUUUUACCAAUAUUUAUUUACCAAUAAAAUUUAAGCAAUAUUCUGAAAUUUAAUUCCAUUAGUUAUUUAGUCAUUCAAUUUAUAAAAUCAUAUUCUCAACCUUUGGUAUAACUUUUAUUUAAUUUACUUCAUUUGUCAAAUUUCUCAAUUGAAUCAAAAUUUCAAAAGUUAAAUUCACUAAAUUCAUAUUUAAUUAAUUUAGCCUUUUAUAUUCCCUAAAUUAAUAUAUCAUAAUUUACUCUUAAUGUAAUUUCAAUUCAAUUUUAUUUGAUGUUUUGUAAUUCUAUAAGGUUUAAUUCUAAUUAUAAAAAUUAUUGAUUUCUUAUAAAAUUAAAUUCAAUUUCUUUUUAAUUAUCCAUUAUAACAAUUUGAUAUAAUCUAAAUUUUUAUCAAGUUUUUCUUACUACAAUUCUCUAUAAUUAAAUUAAUGGUCAUAAUAUACUUAAUAUUCAAUUUUAGAGACUAUAAUAUCAAUAAUUAUUUGAUGGUUGAAUUUUUUUCCAAAUUUAAAUUUAAUUUUUGAAAUUCCUACUCUUUGCAUAUGACGUGAUGGAAUUUUUAUACUAUUGACUUUUUAUUAACUUUUUCAAAAAAUUUCUUAAUUAAAUAUUAACACGGGGAUUUUCGUCAUUCUUUUUUAACAUUUGACUAAUGAUUUUAUGAUAACUUUAAUCUGACAUGUCAUUAAAAAUCCGGUUGUUAUAGAGCCAGUCAAAUUAAGCCUGUUAUCCGAGGAGUGAAGCCACUGCCUUGUUCUAUCUCCGAUGGCCUGCUCAGCUCCUUCAACCCCCAUCGCUCUCCUCUUUCCAAGUUCUCCAUUUUCAGUUUAGAGCCAACAAGGAUCGCAGAAAUCCUUAAAGAUUGACCUACAUGGUAUCGUGAGUACCGCGAUGUGGAUGUUCUUAAUGUGUUGUCUACUAGAGCCAAAUGGGUGUUUGAUAAGACCCAGUGAAGGUGUAAAAAUUAUAUGACGAAGCUUGCAGAAAGACUUUGAGUUGAGGGAAGGCAUCUCAACGAAGUUGGGCUUUUGUAUUGUGAAUCUGGCAAAUUACCUAUACUGCAUGGAUCAUCACUCUUUUAACGUGGAGGUACACAGGUCCUUUGCAAUGUGACACUUGGGGCACCACAUCAAGCUGGUGAUGCUCAACGACUGGCUUCUCUGGACGGGUCCUCCAACAAAGCGCUUCAUGCUUCACUGAAAUUUCCCGGAGUUCUCAAUUAAUGAAGUUGGCCAACUCCUUAACCUGCACUGUUCCGCAGCAGUCACAUAAAGAUUUGACAUUGAAAUUGAUCAGGUUUUUCCUCUGCCAAUGGUGGUGGGCGCGCUUUGUAUGUAGAUUCCGAAGGAACUUCCAACUUGAUGGCUGUGAGUGGUAAGGUUGGAGAAGAUACUACUGGGUCUGCCCCAUUAGUUUUCCAUUGUUAAGGUAGUUUGGUGCACAGCUUCCUGGAUCAUCUACACCACGAGCACCUCCAGCCGCCUGUUUUGAUCAGUUUCUGGAUUUCCAUCUCCAAAUUGUGCAAGCAGUGACUGAUAUGGUGUCCAUACAAGCGGCUACUGAAAUGGUUCAAACCCCAAAUGCUGAAGGGAAAGGAGCUUUUGGAAAAUAUCAUGAAGAAGACUCACCCAUCUUACAUGAAAUUAUACACAACUCCAUGGACCAGAACCGGAACCCAGACUUAAAUUUGUCCAAGAGAAGAUCAGUGUAAUACAAGUCAACUGCAGUCAUUCCUGAAAGAAGUGAUGAGAAGAGUAAACCUGGAAAAGCAGUGAGUGAAACAAGUUUUGUGACAUUGAACAAUUUGCAGAUGGGUGUUCCCACAAGCUCCUCUCCCCUCUUCCUACGUGCAUGAAAUUCCUACGUGCAUGGCCACCUUCUUAGGUGUGCAAUUCUGCGCAUAAUUCUCAAGCGUACUAUCACCCUCUUCUUUUUUGAAAAAUUGAUUUUAAAUUUAAAAUUUUGACAAAUUCAUUUCCCUUUUAAAAUCCCUCAGUAAUUCUCUUCAAAUUAAUAAAAUCUAUUUUCAAAAAAAAUUUGCUGCCAUUUUCCUUUUGGCAUAGACCUUUUUCUAUUUUCUUUGAUUUUUAAUCAUUUUCCAAUUUUUUAAUAAAUAUGAAUAAAUUCUAUGUUUUUAAAAAUAAUGGAAUUUUGUCCAAAUUUCUAUUAUCUUUUUCUCCAUGAUCAUUAGAAAGAUGAAAUUCCUAAAAUUAAUUCAUGCAAAUAAAUUGGACAUUGGUAGGCCCAACAUAUGAAUUUUUCUCCUUUGAUUAUUGUUUUUAAUUGCUACACUUGAUUGACUAAUGAUUGAUCUCUGUCUUGCUCUAGCAUACAUGAGAUUAUUUUGUGCUUGUUAUUGUACACUAACCAUGUUUCUCACGAAGCGCUCAACUUAUUCUCAAGUACGUUCUUUCCUUUUCCUAUUCGUUUAGUUAUAACCAAUGUUUUCAAAAUCGGACCGAUCAUUGAAUUGGAAAAGUUACUGGUUCACGGUUCACUGGUCGAAUCGGCGGUCAAAUCACGGUCAAACUAGUGAUGUCAUAAAUAUAUAAUUUAUAAAUUAUUAAAAUUUAAAAUAAUUAUAAAAAUAAAAAUAAUAAUUUAUAUAUUAUUUAAAAAUUAAAAUUUUAUUUAAAAAUUAGAAAAUUAGUUUCAAAUUAGAAAUUAAAAUUAAAAUCAUAAUUUUAAUUUUAAUUUUCAAAUUUUCAAAUUCAUUUUUAAAUAAAAAAAAACUUAUUUUAAAAUCAUGAAUUUAUUUAAAAUUAUAAUAUUUUCAUUAAUUUAAAUUAAAAUCAUAAGUUUUAAACAUCAUGAAAUAAAAAAUAAUAAAUAUAAAAGAAAAUAAAUUAUACUGAAAUGAGGUAAAAAAUAAUUUAAAAAAAUGGAAAAAGAGAGGAGAGGAACAAGCAAAAAAGGGUUCCAACAGGGUUUUGGGGGGUGGGGUUUCCAUUUCUAGCGCCAGGUGGGGGCCCUUCCGGUGGGCCAAAAGGGGAAAAGCUUUUUGGCUUUUCCAGUGCAAGGGGUGCCGAUGGGGUGGGGGGUUCCAAUGGGCAAGAAGAGCUCUUCCAGCGCACGCGGGUAGGAGUGGCGACAAUGGGGAAAAAAAAAAAGUUGAACCGGAUGGUUCCAUCCGAACCGUCCGGUUAGUCGGCCGAACCACCGAUUUAACUAGUCCGACCACUUUCCAGCCCAAUUGACCAAACCAGAUUGAAACCGUGACCAGCCGAUCCAAUCCAAUUUUUAAAGCCAUAAUUAUAGCUCAACCAUAACACAUCAUUGAUCAUUACUUGGUAUUUGUUGACUUUUUGAUCAAUUGUCAUUCUUAUAUUAACUUGAUUAUUAGAGACCUAAUUUUAGGGUAUAAAGGGGUAUUACGAUUUAUCAUCCUACCUUCUCAACAAGUAACCUGACCCUUGAACCCAGACUUGGUUUUUCAUAAACCCGUAUUUUCCUUUCAAGUUUCAUACUUAGAAUUUUUUUUUUUCCAUUUAAAAAUAAAAUAAAGAUACGUGGCCUAAAACCAUUUUCAUCAAUCCAAAGUGAGUCUUGUCUUUUUUUUUUUCAAGUAAGGACACGAUCACAGGUCUACAAUACUAUUUUAAUAUAUAUAAUGAAAUAUAGAUAUUAACGCCAUCUUAAAGAUAUAAUUAAAUUUUUUGUUUAAAAUAAAUUAUAAUAAUUUAAAAAUAAUAUUUUAUUUAAAAUAAAUUUUAGAAUAAGCAAAGUUGAUAUGUGGACAUAGAGAAUCGUGAACCAUUGUAAAUGUAUUGAUUAUAUCUCUUUCUUCCCAUUUCAUUUUUACUUUAGUUUUUAUUAUUCGUAUCUUUUUCUACUAAAAUUUGAAAAAGAAAUUCACAUUCACUUCUUCUUGGGUGUAUAUCAUAGGAUUCAAAAUGUUUUUAAAAAUUAUUAAAUUUGUUAAUUGUGACUAUAUGCUUAUUUAGGAUCCAUUGAUCUUAAUAACUUUCUUCCCGAUAUAGGAAGAAAAUGACUAUUCCAUUAAUGCAGCAUGCAUUGCUGCUUAUUUAUCAAGCAAAUUACAUUAUUAUUUUCACACCAAACCUCCAAAUUCUCCAUGCAUAUACGCAUCCUAUACUGCAUGGCCAACUUCAGAGAGCUAAAACAAGCUCUUAUUGAAUACAUGAUAGAUAAUGUCCCACUGACCCUUUUACUCUGAUACCCUGAAAUGAGAAAUUUGGAGGUUUUCCACAUCAAGCUUCUUGAAAUUACUGCGCCUUCUCGUAACAAAGAACUUUCCCCAGUUGUAUGCUCUAUACUUUGGCUUUUCCCCCUUCGUCAGCUCCUCCAAGGGCUUCACCCAAACAUGGUGCCCGGGACUCAAAACGAACGGAAUCGAGAACCUUUCCCUCUCUGAAUUCACCAUCACCCUGUGCUCCACACUUUCAUAAGUAUCGUUGCUCCAGACCUGGUUUAAUAUCAGUAGAAUUAACCAAAUGAGUGAAAAAUUCCUUGAGCCAAACACUACUGAUAAGCAUGUACUUGUAAUUCAAAGUUCUUGGGUGGUACCUGAACUAUAUCCCCAACAUUGAUGAUAUAAGCAUCUGGGGUGGGCUUAACUCGAACCCAUUCUCCAUCAGUUUUUCGCUUUACUUCCAACCCUCCAACAUCAUCCUGAGCAAGGAAAGUUAAGGCUCCGGAAUCCUUGUGGCGACCAAUGCCCAGAGCUAGGUGAGGAAUGGAGCAAGGUGGGUAGUGAUUGAGGCGGAUGAAGUUUGUUGAUUCUUCAAAGAGAAGAUUGAAUCUGUUCUCUGGCAAACCUAAGCUCAGAGAGAGGAGUCCCAACAGAUUGACAGCUAGUUUUUCCAUUUCUCUAGCAUAUUCUUCACAUACCUCCCUGUAUAAAUCAGCUCAAUUAGAACAAAAAAACUUAAGUAAUUCACUGUAGUGACUGUGCCUUAGCUGGUGGAAUUUGUACCUUAAUUCAGGAGGGUACUGAGGCCACUGAUUGAUCAGCUUUUCGAGCUCCUUGUCGUCAGGAUUAGGCGAAGCAGGGAUGAAGGCGGGGGAUGACGCCACGAUAUCAAAGACUUCCUUCCAGUCCCUAACGUUCUUGGUAUGCUCAGUAUCGAAAUACCCAAAAGGAUUCACCUCAUCUCUACUCACCUUCCUCUUCUCCUCCAAUGGCAGAGCGAAGAACUUCCUCGCCGCAUCCUCAAUUUUACGACGAGACUCGGAGGGCACCCCAUGGUUGAUGACUUGAAAGAAGCCCCAGUUCUUGCACGCAUCAGCUAUUUGAGAAACAUGGUUGGAAGCAUUGGCGGAAGAGAGAUCAAUGAGGGGGAUGCCUUCAGCUUCGAUAACAGCGAGCUUAGGCCUAUGUUGGGUGUCUUGGAUGAAAGCUGGAUCGACCUCUCCCAUGGCUGUGGUAGUGGUUAGAACUUAGAACUUAGAAAUGGCGGUUAUGCACUGCUGGUGUUAGCUGCACGUGAAGAUGGUGAGGGGGACUUGGCCACUUAGCAGGUGGUUUUUGUAGUGUAGUGGGGUUGGUUUAGUACAUUGAACCUGGACAUAAUUGGGGUUACGUUUUAAGUUUUGGUUGGGGGUGUGGGCUCAUGGGUUGCGCAAAUGUCAAUGAUAAUUGGUCAAGUGAUACCAAGUUAUUUCCAAAAUCUGCAGCCGCAAAGGGUAUCUCUCUCGAUGAUUUUGGCAACGUACAGCACUCUCCACAUUCAAAUGUUUGAUCAAAGAUACGUUUUGUUUAGUGUCGUGUAUAUUUUCGAAUUAAUUACUUCAUAUUUAGGGAUACGUUUUGUUGAGUAUCGUGUAUAUUUUCGAAUUAAAAACUUCAUAUUUAGGGAAAAGUGUGCUUCAAUACGCUAAUAUAAAAAUAUCAGCAAAAUAAGAUCCUAAUUUUUCAUAUUUUAAGGUUUAUAAUGCAAUUGGAAAUUAUUUGGAGAAUUAUGCAUUUUCAGCUCAUGUGUAUUUCAAAUCCAAAAUGCUCUCCACCUUGCCAGCCAAGUCUUACACGUUGAAAGUAAAGAGAGAAAAAAUCUUCAAAAAGCCACCAAAACCAAUUUCUCUUUCUUUUUGAGUUAUUUGAUUCAAAAGAUCAAUAAAAUCCAAUUUUUAAAAUUUAACCCUUUGUUCUUUUUUUUUUCAUUUUGAUAAAAAUAUCUUUACCAUUUUCUUGUAGAAAUAACAUUUUUUUUAAACCUAUAUGUAAAUACUUGAAAUGGUAAGAGACGUGUACAUUAAAAAAAAGUUAUUUUUCAAGUAAAAAUAUAGAAAGGAUUAUUUCAUCCCUUUUAACCAAAUAUUUAACAUGAUCAAGGACUAUUCCCUAAAUGAAGGCAUACGGUAGCAAAUACCCUUAAUCUAAACAUUAAAAGUACAACUUAUCUAGUAUCAAACACUCUGUUUUAAAACCCAUAGCCACUCCAAAUAUCCCAAAUAUUCUUUUCUAUGCAACCUCUCUCUCUCUCUUUCUCGCACAAACACACUAAAAUAUUUUCUCAAACUUGGAUUUUUCUCCACAACUCAACCCUAACUUCCUUUCUAUUUGUACCAAGGCUAGAGAAUAUAGUUUAUACUUGUAUUCCUUCAUGUACCAAGCCCACAAGAUGAUCAAUAAGUUUCUCUCUAGAUUUUACAUUGGAGUUGAUUGAUGAUAGUACCCUUAUUAGGUAGUAUAUUAUCUUCCUUAGGUACUGCUUUUUCCAUCCUUAGAUACUACCUUUGUAACCUUGGGUGCAUGAUUGAAUCCAUUGUUUCAUGGCUACUUCAAGUAAGUCAGGAACUUAUGUACAUGUGUGCUACAUGUCUUAUAGAUACUAAAUUUACAUUCUUUAGGUACUACCUUUACCUUCCAUGGGUACAAAUACGGUUAAUGAUAAGAAUUUUAAUAUAAAAAAGGGAAAAACCCUGCUUGAUAAUAAAAUUGCAUAUAUUUUCUUUCUUUCUUUCCUUUUUGAUUGAUUUUUUUUUUUUUUGGUCUUUGCUUUGGUUUUUAUUUAUGUCUUUGUUUCUUUUAGUCUUUGUGUGUGUGUGUUUUAUUUUAUCUUAUUUUCAUCUCUAUGCAGAAGAUGUAGAAGAAACAACAUCACAUCAUAAGGUGCAUUUUUCCGUUCAUUUAAGACUAAAGGUUUUGGAUUCACAAAAUGGUGGGAACUAAGGGUGAGAAGCUGGAAAAAUGUUGGAUUGAGCUACAUUUGAUCAAUGGUGAAUUUGCAAAAAAGAUUGUAGGAGAGUGUAGACCCUCAAUUUUGUCCCUUUAGCACAUGUUUUAAAGUCCAUUACCAAUACUUUACAGUAAUCUCUUGGUAGCCCAUAGCUACUCACGCUACUUACCUUUCUUGAGCCACCUCGGAGACUCUAGUUGAGGGAUUGCCUAACCCCUUAUUGUGACCCUUGGCAGUUUUGAUUUAGACUUAAGGUUUUCAUUCCUUCUUAGGAUAGCUCUUAGGUGCACUUUUAGGUCCACUUAGGCAUCACCCUUGGCUAAUUUAGACAUUUUGGGCCCGUUUAGACACCUUAAACUCGCCUAGAUUCACCUUAGACCCGCUUAAGCACUUCAUUGGGGCUCAACAUUUUUAUAUAAUCUCUUGAUCAUUAUUGCAUGCAUUUGAUGAUUAUAUUUUCUUUGUUUAUUCAUUUAUUUGUUUGUUUAUUUAUUCAUCCAUUUAUUUAUUCAUUUUUUAAUUUCUAUUACGUCUUGUUUUUUUUUUUCUUUCUUUCUUUCAUUUAUUUACCUACUUAAUAGAGAAUUGUUUAGAUAUUAAAUAUGCAUACAACCCCCUUAUUGAAUGAUGGAAUUGUACAAUCUGAUAUCUCAUUUUCUCUUUCAUUUUCUUUUAAUCGUAUUUCACUUUAUUACCAAUUUCAUGACUUUCAUUAGUUGCUUCUCUUUUCCUUUGAUUUUUUAAUCUUAUCUUAUUUUGUUUUGCAUAAGGAGCACCAUCUUGGGGAGUACAAGAGGAUCUACAUUACUGGUUUGAUCAACAUAUGUUUGAGACUAAAAGCCUUCAAGAUGGCAAAAGAUGGUCAUCACAGCCCCAUGCUUCUUCUUCCCAUCUCUCAUAAUUGAAGCCUCUGUACAAAACUUCAUCAUAUCCUGAACAAUAGCAGCCACAGCAGUUGCAGCCACAGCAGCUGCAGCCACAGCAACUGCAGCCACAACAGCUGCAGCCACAGCAGCUGCAGCGACAGCGGCAACCACAGUUAAUGCUGCAACAGCAGCCACAGCAGCAUAGACUGCAUCAUCCAGUUCAACCUUCAUUUGGUCAUUUAUCAGGGUUGCAGCCCCAACUAUUUAAUCCCCAUCUUUCCCCAGCUCCACUCAUCAUGAACAAAUAUGAAGCAAUGCUUGGGAUAGGUAAUCUGAGGGAUCAAAGACCCAAGUCAAUGCAAAAAGGUAGACCAAAUCAUCGGGUUUCUCAACAGGGCUUGGAUACUAGCAGUCGGAAGAGUGAUGUUGGUGGCCACAGUUCAGAUCCAAGUAUAUGACAGCUGAUGAAAUCGAAAGUAUCCUUAGAAUGCAACGUUGCGGAACAGAUGGAUGAGUAGAAAGGAAAAUAGCAUGAAAAUAGAAAGGAAGUGACCACUUUGUGCACAACACGCAUAUAGUGGGCUGUAAGGGGGAUUCUUUUUUGUUUAGAAAGAAAAGUCAACUUGUAUCACUUACUAAACGAGAUGUGGCUGCAUCCUUGAGGGAAUCUCCCAAUGAGCCACCAUGUAUGCACUUUCCUUAUCCAUGUGCAUUGAAAAAGGAUAUAGAAUAUUCAAUAGAGGAAAGGUGCUGCCAUAUAGAAGGAAGGUGCUGCCAUAUAAACAUGUCACAGAGAGAACACACGGUGGACUUUUCUUUUGGGAGCAGAAAUUCACAUACAAAAAGUAAUCUUUUUUAGAGGAGAUGAACACACGCAAGAGUUUUUUUUUGGGAGCGGUAGAGGACCUGAACGACUAAUUGGGCUGCCAUUUUGACACAUCAAGAAAGUAUUUUUCCAAUACAAUACAGGUUAGUUUUCGAUUUUUGAUACCGUAUUUCCUUUUUUUUUUAGUUUGGGUUUUAGUUGUUUGGUUUAAUUAAUUGUUUGUGAUAAAUUCUUUUAAAUCUCGAUUUCGAACAAUCUUUUAUUUUUCUUAUAUUAAAUGUCUAUCUUUUAUGAUUGCAAUUCAUUAGUUCUAUGCUAGUUUAUUUUUAAUUUACAUGAAAGUUUAAAUAAAGUUUAUAUUUUUAAUUCCAAUUAGUUUAUUUUUAAAUUUGAAUGAGUUAUCGAUCUUAAUUAUUUAGUUUAAUUGACCUUGUGAGAUAAAAUUUAUAUUUUUAAUUCUAAUUAGUUUAAUUUUAGUUUAUUUUUAAUUUGAAUGAGUUAUCGAUCUUAAUUCUUUAGUUUAAUCGACCUUGUGAGAUAAAAUUUAUAUUUUUAAUUCCAAUUAGUUUAAUUUUAGUUUAUUUUUAAUUUGAAUGAGUUAUCGAUUUUAAUUCUUUGGUUUAAUUGUCCUUGUGAGAUAAAAUUUAUAUUUUUAAUUCCAAUUAGUUUAAUUUUAGUUUAUUUUUAAUUUGAAUGAGUUAUUGAUCUUAAAUCUAUUAGUUUAAUUGGACUUGUAAGGUAAAGUUUAUAUUUUUAAUUCCGAUUAGUUUAAUUUUAGUUUAUUUUUAAUUUGAAUGAGUUAUUGAUCUUAAAUCUAUUAGUUUAAUUGGACUUGUAAGGUAAAAUUUAUAUUUUUAAUUCUAAUUAGUUUAAUUUUAGUUUAUUUUUAAUUCGAAUGAGUCAUUGAUCUUAAUCUAUUAGUUUAAUUGGUCUUGUAAGGUAAAGUUUAUAUUUUUAAUUCCGAUUAGUUUAAAUUCUAGUUUAUUUUUAAUUUGAAUGUGUUAUCGAUCUUAAUUCUUUAGUUUAAUCGAUCUUGUGAGGUAAAGUUUACAUUUUUAAUUCCAAUUAGUCUAAUUCUAGUUAUUCAUGUGUUUCUUGAAAUCUAAAUGUUAGUUUUUGAAUGAUAAUUUUGUUAGUUUGUUUGAUUAGGAAGUCAUAAAUUUGUUGUCUUAGUGAUUGUUGGUCAAUUUUUUUUUAGGACCACUGGAAACCCAUGAAGGUUGGCCUUUACUCUCACCACUUUAAUUGAUAAGAUUUUCUAAAAUCUUUAUUUCGUGAUCUUUGUUUCCUUUUGUUUUGAUUGAUAUUUUGUUUUCUAUUUUUGUUAUUUUAAAAAUUAAUUUCUUUUAUUUUAAAACAAAACUCUUUUUCUCAAAAAAACCCUUUUUAAAAUUUUUUUUUUAUUAUUCAUUUAAAGCCUCUAGAAUCAAAAUCUAUUUUCUUUUUUAAAAAAUAACAUGCAACCAUAUCUUAAUCAGUUUGCAUCCUUCUCAAUUUUCAACAAAAAUAUCCUUCUCAAUUUUCAACAAAAAUUUUGGUUUUAAACAAAACGCGAAUCAAAGCUUGUGGUCCCAAAUAAAUGGAACAAUUUUAGGCUAAAUUCAUGUAUAUUAAUUUGGGGAAUUGGUGAAACCCCUACAUAAGAAAAUCUUUUCAAAAUUUACUUUUGCUACCACCCUACUAUUUAUCAUAAUCAUAUUUACUUUUUUUCUUUUUAGGAAUUGUAUACAAGAUAUGUAUGAUAAUUAAUUAUUCCGAGUUCUGAUAAUUUUUGCUAAUUAAUUAGAUAAGCAUGCUAGGAUUUAUUAUUUAUUAUCUAUUAUCUAUUAUCUAACCCUCAUGUUCUGAGGAAGUGCAUUAGGAGUUAUAUAUGCUAUCCAGGUACGUUCCCAAAAUCUCAUGAAUAUGCAUGUCAUUACCCUUGUUUGAUGCCAUACUUGAUUGCCUCGAUGCUUGUUUGAUCAUCCUUGAUAAAAUGCAUGUCGUGUGUCAUAUUUCUGAAUUAACCAUUGAUGUUUAAUGAUAGUGCUUAAGAAGUGGUUCAGGUACGCACCCUAACUCUCCUUUAUUGUGAUUGAUCUCCUUAUUUAGCAUGCUACUUUCUGAAAAUCACCUAGCUUACUUAAGUAUCCAUAAUUAAUCAAUUAAUUGCCUCAUUUCCCCAAUUUAGUCAGUAAAGACCUCUUUAGGGCUUAGAAGGGUGCUACCUCCUAGAGGUACCUUCCCAAUAAGUAACCUGAUCCCCGGACCUAGACUCGGGUUUUUCAAAGACAUGUUUUUUUCAAAAAUUAUGGAGUCACAUUUUAGGGUUUUUCUUUCUUGUUUUAUUUUCCCUUUAAAAUAAAAAUAAAAUAAGUGGCGGCUCCAACUUUUCCAAAACUAAAUAAUUUUUCACAAAUAAAAAAAGAGUCUCGCCAAUCGAGUGGGGACGCAUGUGAAAAAUGCAGGUCCACAGAGAGGUUUCUUGAGGUGGACAAGGUCAGAAGCAAAGAGCCUUUCCCUACUUUUUGGGGUUGGUUCCUUGAGUUCUUAGGAAGAACUUAGUUAACGUGUGAAUUCAUUCAGGGUAAUUUAUGUAAGAUUUUCUAGAUUUUGCAAGUGAAUGCACCUUAGCUUUUCCUAUUGUAUUUGUGUUUUUUUAGGUUGAUUAUUUUAUUGAUUGUCACCACUCAAGGAAUGGAAGCAAUAGGGUCUCUAGAUGUAGUGCCUAAAGGCAAGCAUACAGGCGUUGUUAGGAGUGUGCUUCCCAUGUCCAACAAGCAUAUUGACACCACCCAAAGCCAAGGCAUCUUUGGACUAGGAGUUCUAGCUUCUACUUAUGUGGACUUUGUAGAUGCAGUCUGGCUCUUCGAAAUAUUUAUUGUUAUGUAGUAGUUAUACACAUGUACUUUGUUUAAGUGAAUUGAUUUUUGGAUUUUUACUUAAAUCAAAUUUAAGGGUAUGUUGUUUAAUUUACUAGAGAUCUCUUGUUUGUAAUUCUCGUUAUCAUAUAUAGAUCUUUGUUAGUAUUUGCCAAUUUCCUCAAUAGCAACUGUAUUAGUUAUCAAUGGAAUGAAUCUUGAGUAACUUGUAGUAUCAUUUUUGGUUUUGAAUUGGCUAAUCUUUUUUGGAAGAAUGAAUUAGAUAUAUGAGCUUGAUUGCAAGCAAUAGUUGAGUUUGUUUUGAUCUUGGGGUAUUUGCCUUAUUGAUAGGACAUAGAUUUUGGGUCCAAAUAGUUGGAAAUUGAUGAGCUUAACCAGGACAUAGAUUUUAUCCCCUUGGGAGAACCACAACACUAACCAGUGUUCCUACAAAAGCUAAUAACCAUGAUUUAGAAAUGUGAUUUCCCUAAAGGGAAGCAUUUCUAAUCUUAUUUGAAGGGAAACUUUGAUGUCUUCCUUAAUACACUAGAAUAUUAAUUUAAAAACAACAAUUAAGGUUAUAUUAACUAUUAUAAUAAUUUAUAAAUUACAUAAAUAUGAUAAUAACUAUUAAAAUAAAAGUAUUAAACAUAAAAAUGUUUAAUUCUGUUGGGUAAAAACUUCAUAAAUAUUUUAUUAUUGAACUUCUAUCAUAUGAUCAAACAUAGUGAUGAUCCUUAGUUGGAUUAAUUAACACUUGUUUCAUAAAUUGAACAACAUAUAACAUGAUCAAUAAACAAACAAGUAAACAUCAUACUAGAUAAAACUAUCUCUUAAGAUUUCAAUUAUUACAUGUUUAAAUUACAAAUCAUAUUUUUGCAACUUUCGUAAAGUUAUGCAAUAGAUAUAAUUAAAAUUAUGAAACAUUGAAAAUGUAUAUUGAUUCAUUAUUCAAAUUCAUCAUAUCAUAUAUAUACUUUAGUUGUCCAUAAGAUCAAAUAAUAACCAAAAUUCGAAAAAUAUGUUUUAUGAUCCAAAAUUGAUUGACACUAAUAUCAAUUGUUACAUAAACUUUAUGUGAAAUAAUUAUUUUGGAAAAUCAAUUUGGAUGCAUAAAGCAUAAUAGUUAUAAGAAAUAAAGAAAUGACAAAAUAAUAAUUAUAUUUUUGUCUUAAUCCAUGAUACCGAUAACACUUUUAAAGUGAGUUCGAGUCACUUUGUGAAUUGUUGGGUCAAGGUAUUCAACUCAUCAUUCUCAUUUAGUAGAUGAGACAAUUGUGUGGUAUAUGUUGUUAUAAGCAAAACAACUAAAAACAUAAGAAUACAAUACAACUUAGGACCUUAACUUUAAAAAAAGAUUUAUAACUCUUAAUCUUCUCAUAAAAGAUUAUAUGAGAGUUAUACUCAUUAUUUUUAAACAUUAUAUAUAAAUUAAUGGACAAUAGUAAACUACCAACUUGAAUACAUUCAUGUAAUUAUAUAAAUUACACUUUUUCAUCUUCCUCUAUUAGUCAUAAACUUUAUAUAUAAAUUAAAUCUCAUAAUGAUGGAGUUACAAAAGUUGUAAUACCAUAUUCGUAUAAAUGAAAAUUUUCUAACUCCAUAUUUAUAAUUUUAAUUUUCUAUGUUAGAAGUUGAAUUUGUUCCACAUCGCCAAGUUACCGGGUUAUUAUGUUGUUUAUAUAUGUGGAUUGGGCACCCUCUCCCUUUAAGCAAGCUUUUAGGGAUGAAUUAUAUUCAAACCCAUUUAACAUGGUAUCAGAGCUUGGUUUGACUGGGGGUCGUGGGUUCAAGCCACCUCUUCGCAAUUCGUAUGUUUGUUCCUCAUUUGCAUGUUUGAAAGUCUAGAAAAGGGUAUUUGCAUUUGUUUGUUUGUCCCUUCACGUGUGGAUAUGGGGCCACACAUAAGAUAUGGUGUUAAAAAGCAUGAAAUGUAUAUUGAACCCAAAUCUUAUAAGUUUAAGCUUUUAGGAAAAUUAGUAAUUCAACAUUCUAUACAUAAAAUUAUUUGAUGUCCAAUCAAUUGAUUCACCUACCUAUCAAUUAAUAUACUUUUAAAUAAAAUAUAUUUCAAUCCAUUACACAAAUAUAAUUAAAACAAAGUACUAUAAUAAUAUGAGUAUGUGACAAAUAAAUAAAAUAAAAAUAAUCACAUGUUACAUGUAAACUAUAUUCAAAGGAAAAACCACAAGUCAUCCCCACUAUUAAACAAUCCAUUGUAUAAUGAUCAAUUACAAAGACCAAGUAUUACCAAACUUAAAAGUAUCUAAAUCAUACUCACUUUGCACAUUUUCUUUAUACUUGGAUCCUUUAAACUCAUUUAUCCCAAUGUGGAAGCAUCUUGAGUUCUAAUCAAGGAAAUCAACCUUUACUUCAUCAAGUUAAAGUCUCUUUAUAUCAUUGACAACCAUAUCAAGAUUUCUUUUGUUGGUUGCUUUCAAAGUCCCACUAGAAUUAGAUUGAAAUUUUUAUAAUCUCUAGAACUUUAACAUAUUAAUUCUUCAAUGAGUCAAUCAAAUAUUAAGUUUUAUCUCCAUAGAUGGACCUCAAUGAAUUUUUCGACAAAGGUGUUAACACUAAUUUCAUAUUAGUAAAAAAAAAUCAUGUGACACAUAUUGAUAUAUAUAUAUAUAUACUAAUUUCAUAUUCAUAGAUUGAAUUCAUGAGAAAAUUAUUCUUAAUUUUGUAAAAAUUAUAUAUAUAAGAAAGUUUUUAGGCUUACUAAAACACAUUACUAACCAAGUGGCAAUAUAUUUAUAAUUUAGGUCUCAUUAUUUUGUAAUCAAGUUUCAUUCAUUUGUAUCAUAUAUGAGUCCUAUUAUGUCAUACCUUACUCUUAUUACAUUGUACUUUGAUCUUAUUUGUUUAAACAUCGAUUUCAUUUCUUUAUAUGUACAUCACAUUUAUUUAUAUCUCAAUCUUAAUUAUUUGUAUCUUUAUUUAACAGUUUAGAUUUCAUUACAUAUUUUUAAAAUUUUAAUUUGAAAUUCGAUAUCUUAGUAUUUUUCUAAAAUAGCUACCUAUAAUCCUUGUAGAGUACUCAAAAUUCACUCCAACCCAUAAAAAAAAAUGACCUCUCUUCGUAAGUUGCUAUACUCAUUGCUAAACUAUAAUUCCAAAAUUAGCAGAACUUUUCAUACUUAUUCUAGGCAAUUAGAGUUGAGAUGUUCCGGGCAUAUACCAUAUUCUUUCAAGAUUUGAAAGAAAUGUUACGAUUUCAGCAUUAAAUAAUGCAUGUCGAUUAACAAUAUUGCUCAGAUUCUUUAGGCAAAGGUCCACAGACAAAAAAAUUAUUUAUUUAUUUUCUGAACCACCCCUGAAAUUGACACCUCCCAUACAGUCUGAUCUGCAUUUCUGUGGCACUAUUUCCCUUAUUCCUAACCAUAAAUCUGCUGCCAUCUCAAUAAUUCACAUCCUUAUCCACUCCUUAUCUAGGGUUGUAACACUUUUUUCAAAAAGAUUUUUUUUUUUUUUUUUCGAAGGGGUGGAUAAGGGUCCUGAGACAAGCUGUGGUAUAAUUAUAAACCCACUUGGGUAAUGGUUUCAUUGUCAGGGUAAUUCUAUUUAAGGUGAAAAUCAGCUGGGUCUAUCAUUCUUGUUUCCAUGUGACUGUUUCCAAGGAGAACUCAACCCUCAAAUCCAUCGAGCAGUCAUAUAAAAAUACACGCAGAUUUCAUAUCUUGAAGCUUGUCCUGUGUUCAGAUCGGAUAACUCACUCAUAUGCCUAAUCACUAAUCGCCAACUUGAGUGUAAAAAAAGCGUGGGGCGAUAUUAUUUGUAUAUGGGUUUGACUGUUUGAGAGAGAAAGGUGGGGUGUCCCUUGGAGGAGUCCAAAGGCCAUUUUUGAACCUGCCUUUGAUUAUCGCCAUGGCAAAUCAACAGCUUGUAGUAUAUAUAUAUUAAUGGAGACCAAGACUCAAAUAGAGAGAGAGACGCGGGGAUGCGAUAAAGAGAACAGUAUAGCCAAGAGUAUAUAAGCAUUUCUCUUGCUGUAAUGGUGAUUCAGAGACUGGAAAUGUGUAUAUCACUGCUGAAAAUGGCAGUAGAGUUUGUGCUUGUUUUCGCGGAGGCAGUCGGGCUAGUCAUCAACCACAAUGCCACGCCGCUUUUGGCAAACUCAGCCUCAGUUGGCAAUGAUGUUUCUGUCCCUUUUAUCGGUUUUCUUCUUUGAAUUCUUCGUCUUGUAGUUUCCUUCCUUACCAGAAUGCUCAUUGGCCAUUGUAUAUGUUGAGGGUUCUUUUUUGCCUUGAUAGAUUUUCUAAAGGAUGUGCAUGUUUGAUAGGAGAGAGUAUAUAUACACAUCUAUGUAAACUUUGAUUAAAUUUUGUUCUGGGUGAGCUUCAUUUUCUGCAAAUUCAUUUGCUGAUAGCUUUGGAAACGAAUCUUCAGUUGUUUGGGUGCUGAUUAUUUGCUUGCUUCACACGAUUUUAUGUGCUGUUCCUUUGGUAAUAAUCUUGUUGGGUGGAUCAAGGAGAAGAGCGAAGAUCUGAGGGAAAAUAGAGUCUGGAGAAAGAAAAGAUGUAAUGAUGAUUAAGAAAGGCUUUAAUAUACUUGCAAGAUCAGGAAAAAAUAUUUCUUGGGUAUCAAUUAUUUUCUUGCUUGAUAUGGGUUUGAUACUCUUUUUCAAUUGGUGAUCAUUCUGGGAAGAUCAAGAAGAAGAAAAUGGGGUCUAGAUGAAGAAAAGCUAUAAUGGCGAUUAUUAAGUGGAAUCAGAUGAAAUAAAAGUCUGUUUCCAUCAUUCUUAAUAUGGUUUCUUUUGUCAAAAAUGGAAGAUGACUUGAUUUUCAUAGUCCCAGCAGGACUUUAGUACUCAUCAAACUCAUAAAUUUUGAACAACUUUGAGCUAACCUUCUGCAUUAAUUUGGUGCAUCUGCGCAGUUGCAGAGUAUGAACACCCACAAAAUCUUAAUAUGAAUCUUUUGGGGCAAUAGCUUCUAUAUAUGAUGGAUGAUAAGAACAAAGCAAAUCUUGGGUUCUCCAUGGGCACGAUCAUUUAUCCGCCAUAUAAAAUGCAGAUUUUCCUAACACCAACCCCUUAUUUUAAUAAAGUCAAGUUAUUUUAAGGCCCCCAAUAUUAGACAUGCCUUAGAAUCAUUGGGUCUGUGAUUAAAAAUGUAGUAAUAUCAUUUAAAAUACCUAACACUGAAAUUUUGAUAAUUUUGAAUGCCAUAGUGUGGAUUUGAAGAAAGAAAUCGCAUCCAAGAUCUCUUCCUUUUCCUGGGAAACAUUAGUCUUGGUCAAUUAUGAACUGUUACACGUUGCCUAUCAUGGUCAUAUUUAUAUUAGCUUUGAUUUCUAUGGGGGAUAUAAUUUAUUUGUAUGCUAAUCAUAGAGGUGAUACAUGUGAUCCACAUGUCAUAUUUGGACUUGGAAGCAAUCAUUGGAUUCCUUUGAUGAACUGGCAAUGGAAGAAUACUAAUUGCUCCGGUCCCUUUCUUUUUUCAAAGUAGGAUGAUCAGGUCCUUUGAUCCCUUCGACUCCCUCUGGCUGUUUUUCUUUGUUCUUUUUUCAAUCAUCCAUAGCUUAAAAUUAAAGCCUUGAUGCCCUCCUCGACUUUCCCAAGAUAAAACACCUUAUCUUCACUUUAUUUCUCUUCCCUUUAAAUUUGAUUUUAGAUCUGAAAUCCAGGGCUUAUGACCCUGUAGAAGAAAGACAGAUAUGAAGCUUGGGAUGAUUUGAACUUCAGUUUGAUUUUCUGCACACUCUGUUAAAACUCCUGAAAUAUAGUUGUAUAUUGCAAUACAUUUAAUUGUUUGAUACAUCUGAACUAUGAUGUUCUAUUAGUAAAAAUUUCUUUGAAUCAAUCCACGGCUCAAAGUACCAAUUUCUAUUGAAACUUUUUUUCUUUUCCUGCUCAUUCAAUUGUUUCAUUUUCCACAUAAUGGUAUGACAACAUCAAGAAUACUUCUCAGCAAUUGCCUGCAGGUGAACCCAAAGCUCUUUUGGCUUAGAGAUCAUGACCAUGUGAUCAGAUCCUUUAAUCUCUUUAACAGCAUCAGGUGGGUUUUUUUCAAUCAUCCAGAGUUGAAAAUCCCUUUUCCCCAGCUUGUCUUCCUCUGAAAUAAUAAAGACACGUUUAACCGAGGCAUAUUUCUUCGACAACAUGAGCUCAUUUGACAUGUCUUCUUCAAUGAACAAGCGUACGGGUCUCAUCAACACAGUCCCUAGUGCCAAGUCCUGGAAUAUUUGUGCCCGAAAUGAUAUGACAACAACAAUGAAGGUCUCAUGAUUUUGGUUGUAAGGCCUUAAUAAAUGGAGUUCUCACCUCAGUUGGGCUCAACUGAUACACAUUCAGUGAUAAGAACAAGGGGCCAAAGCUGAAAGUGGUGGGAGGAUUGUUGGGGCCAUUAUCAUAUGUGAACUGGCUGUCUAGUAGAGGACCUUGUCUCCUGAGUGACUUCAAUAAGAAGUAGAAACCAGGCUAAAAGUCAGAAACAGGGGAAGCCUUCCCCUCUUAAUCAGCAAGUAAAUUUCUGUAAAAGAAAAAUAGUAUGUAUGAAGUACCUCUUGAUUGAGAGUGGAAAUGUUGAGAGUGGGACCAGGCAUUGAGGCAGUAACAAAAACAGCUACAGAAACCUUUUCUGGGAACUUCUCCAUGGCCUGAGAAAUGGCCAAUCCACCCAAGCUGUGUCCAACGAGAACCACCCUCUCAUCUGCAGGGAGUGACUCCACGAAGUCCCUCAGUGGCUGGAAAUACCAAGAAAUUGAUCGCAGAUCACCCACUUGUUUUGGGUUAAUUCCAGAAGCAGCCAAGUCCAGAGCAGUAACUUUGUGGCCAGAUGAUUUUAGUAGUGCCACAAUCUUGUACCAAGACCAGGCACCAUGGCAAGACCCAUGAACUAGAACAAAGUGCUUGACGGGAUUAGCCUGUCUCCCCUCUGAUGCCAUUGGAUACACUGAAGAAACAAGAAAAAUCAGAAAGGAAACAAAAAUCAUAUGCUUCUUCCUUGCUUCCAUACUCCUUUCCUGUUACAGAGAUGGUCAGCACCCCAGCAUUUUAAAGGGCACAAUUGGGUAGGUUUUCACUACAACUACUAAUCUAAUUGAUUAAAAAUUUUCCCGUGAAAUUGACUCUAGAAAUAAAAUAAGGACUAAGGAUUCAAGAACACGUACACUUUGACUGCCAGAGUUUAUGUCUUUUCAUAGAUGACACAUGCACCUGCGUCACACUCUUUUUCAAUGAUAAAGAAGUUAUGCAAAGGAAGAAAGAAUGAAAUAUACAGAGUCAAGUAGUUAACUCCUCCCCUUGAAUUCUUCUCUUGCCCGGAUUGGUUUGUAACUGCAAACAUUUUCUUUUCCCAAUGUGAUCUGUGGAUUGAGUUCUGAUCUCAAUUUGUUUUUGGCAUUUUUGGUUUUGCUUCUGCAAAUCUUGAGAUGUAUCUUUCAAUUAAUAUAAGUUGUGCAGUUAAGGUUUUUGGACAUAUAAAAUGUUAGCCAAACCUUUCCCGUGGCAGGUUGAAGGUACUUUGGGGUAGGCUUGGUCAUGCUUGAUACCUCAGUCUGACUCAAACAUGAUGUUUUCACCCAUUUGAAUUGAUCAAAGUUGUGUUGACUGGCAUGAUUCCUUUAAUAAAGAAGUUGUUUUAGGAUUAAGGCGUACAACACAAAUUUGACUUAAGUAGAUCUAUUUAAUUAUUGUGUAUUAACAUAAUUAUAAUCAAUUGAGUCGAAAAUGAAUUAAAUUAAAAAGUUAAUUUUAUUGAUUUAAAUAAGACCUAAUUCAACCUGAUUAUUAAAUUACUCAACUUAUUAUAUGAUUUGAACACUGCCCACCAACAUUAAUUGUAACCCGUGCUUUGAGUUCAGGUGGCAGCAAGAGUUUGGCCUUUGUUUUGAGUGUUGGAUGAAUGUUGGAUUAACCUUUCCCAUGGCUGUCAAAUUCCUCAUAAAUUAUUGGUGAUUGUAAUAAUUUCCUCAAAAAGUAAUGGUGCUAUAUGCUUCUUUAGGAUCCAUUGAUCUUAAUAAUUCUCUUCCUGGUAUAGGAAGAAAGUGACUAUUCCAUUACUGCAGCUUUCAUUGCUGCUUAUUUAUCAAGCAAAUUACAUUAUUAUUUUCACACCAAAUCUCCAAAUUCACCAUGUACUUAUCCUAUAUACUGCAUGGUGAACUUCAGAGAGCUAAAACAAGCUCUUAUUGAAUACAUGAUAGAUGAUGUCCCACUGACCCUUUUACUCUGAUACCUUGAAAUGAGAAAUUUGGAGGUUUUCCACAUCAAGCUUCUUGAAAUUACUGCGCCUUCUCGCAGCAAAGAACUUUCCCCAGUUGUAUGCUCUGUACUUUGGCUUUUCUCCCUUCGUCAGCUCCUCCAAGGGCUUCACCCAAACAUGGUGCCCGGGACUGAAAAAGACCGGAAUUGAGAACCUUUCCCUCUCUGAAUUCACCGUCACCCUGUGCUCGACACUUUCAUAAGUAUCGUUGCUCCAGACCUGGUUUAAUAUCAGUAUAAUUAGCCAAAAGGGUGCAAAAUUUCUUGAUCCCAACAGUACUGAUAAGCAUGUACUUAUAAUUCAAAGUUCUUGGGUGGUACCUGAAUUAUAUCCCCAACAUUGAUGAUAAAAGCAUCUGGGGUGGGCUUAACUCGAACCCAUUCUCCAUUGGUUUUUCGCUUUACUUCCAACCCUCCAACAUCAUCCUGGGCAAGGAUGGUUAAGGCUCUGGAAUCCUUGUGGCGACCAACGCCCAAAGCUAGGUGAGGGAUGGGGCAAGGUGGGUAGUGAUUGAGGCGGAUGAAGUUUGUUGAUUCUUCAAAGAGAAUAUUGAAUCUGUUUUCUGGCAAACCUAAGCUUAGUGAGAUGAGUCCUAACAGCUUGAAAGCUAGUUUUCCCAUUUCUCUAGCAUAUUCUUCACAUACCUCCCUGUAUUAAUCAGUUCAAUUAGAACAAAAAAAAAAAAGUAAUUCACUGUAGUGACUGUGCCUUAACUGGUGAAACUUGUACCUUAAUUCAGGAGGGUACUGAGGCCACUGAUUGGUCAGCUCUUUGAGCUCCUUGUCGUCAGGAUCAGGCGAAGCAGGGAUGAAGGCGGGGGUAGGCACCACGAAAUCAAAGACUUCCUUCCAGUCCCUAACGUUCUUGGUAUGCUCAGUAUCAAAGUACCCCAAAGGAUUCACCUCAUCUCUACUCACCUUCCUCUUCUCCUCCAGUGGGAGAGCGAAGAACUUCCUCGCGGCAUCCUCAAUUUUACGACGAGACUCCGAGGGCACCCCAUGGUUGAUGACUUGAAAGAAGCCCCAGUUCUUGCAUGCAUCAGCUAUUUGAGAAACAUGGUUGGAAGCAUUGGCGGAAGAGAGAUCAAUGAGGGGGAUGCCUUCAGCUUCGAUAACAGCGAGCUCAGGCCUGUGUUGGGUGUCUUGGAUGAAGGCUGGAUCGACCUCUCCCAUGGCUGUGGUAGUGGUUAGAACUUAGAACUCAGAAAUGGUGGUUAUGCACUGCUAGUGUUAGCUGCAGGUGAAGAUGGUGACGGGGAUUUGGCCACUUGGCAGGUGGUUUAGUACAUUGAACCUGGACAUAAAUUGGGUUACGUUUUAAGUUUUGGUUGGGGGUGUGAGCUCACGGGUUGCGCAUAUGUUAAUGAUAAUUGUUCAAGUGAUUUUACCGACAUAAAACAAAAUCUGCCGCCCCAAAGGAAUCUCUCUCAAUGAUUUUACCGACAGCACUCUCCACAUUCAAAUGUUUCAUCCGUAUUUGAAUUGGAGUCUAAUACUCUCAUUGUUUAAUUAACUCCAGCUUGAUUAAUGAAUCCAGUGGUGUCGUGUAUAUUUUCGAAUUCUCUGCUUUAUAUUUAAACCUUCUUGGUUUUUAUGUUCUCAUCCAAUGGUUUAAAACCCAAAAACGAUGCAAAGAGAAAAAGAGAAAAAAAAAAAUAUACAACACAAUUGGAAUUAAAAUAUAUGUAAUAAAAAAAAUAAAAACUAAUUCAUUUUGAGUUUUAUUUUUCAAAAUAAUAACUCUAAUAUAAUAACUAAAUAAAUAAACAUAUAGUAAUUAAAUACAUAAUAACUAAAUAUAUUAAUGUCUUCUCAUAAUUGAGACUUUACAACAUAUACUCAAUUUUUAAACAAUUCUAAAAAAAUAAGUGAAAAUAAUUAAAAAUACUUAAAAUAUGUUACCAACAAAUACCUUAUUGUCCUAACAAAUCUCAAAAACCUUAUUUAGGACCAAUUGAAAAUCAAAAAAAAAUUCAUAUUUCUUUACUCUUGAAAAAAAAAAAUGGUUCUUGAUGACAGUCUCAAACAUAUCCUCCCAUUUGGUUAUUUUAUUGUAUAAGUUUUUCAAUAAAAUAAAAUAAUUAAUGAUAGUGUUUGUAAGGAAAAAUCAAAAUAUCAUACAAAAUUAAUACACAUCUUUUUAUUAUUCAAUAUUUCUAUAUCAUAUUUACAUUUUUUUUUAUAAAAAAAUUAUAUAUAUACAAUGUUUUAAAAACCGGAUCGGAUCGGCCGAUCCAACCGAUGACCGGUCACAUUUUCGGUCCGAUCCACUCUAUUAAACCGUUUAACUAUUGGAUCGGUUACGAACCGCCUAAACCAACGGUCAAACUGGUGAACCGAACAGUCCAUAUUGGCCCAUCAUUUUGCAAGUCCAUUGUAUAAAAAAUUAAAAGUUGUAGGCCAAAAACCAUACUAGGCCAUGUCUUAACAUGACAAAGCCCGCACCCAAACCAUUUAAGUAGGCUCAGUUUUGAGCCCACAAGGUGGGCAUGCUGUUGCUUUCAAUGAGGAUACUUUUUAUAGGCAUCCUUUGCACCCUUAUUUCUCUCACAAUCCGAUGUGGGAUUGCAAACUAAUAUGAUAAUAUCAAUGAAAAAAAUUUAACAAAUGCAACAAGAGGGAGGAUUUGAAGUGGGACCUCAGGUUUUGUAAAUAAACUAGGACACCACUCGGCUACUUAUUUGAUAUGCCAAACAAAACAAUAUAUGUUGGAUUUUAAUUUUUUUUUAAUAUUAAAUAAAAAUAAUAUAAUAUUUUUAAAAAUUAUAAAAUUAGUUAAAUUUUUCAUUUUGAAUAUAUUCACAUUUAAAUAUUGUACACAUUUCAUUUAAUAUGAUUUAAUUUGAUAAUAUCAAAUAUAUAAAAUAAUAUUAUUGAUUUUUAAUUUAUUCAUAUAUAUUUUAAAAUUUUUAUAAUUAUUUUUAAUUUUAAUAAUAUAUAAAUUACAUAUUUAUGACGUCAUCGGUUCGACCGCGGUUCGACCAUCGAUUCGACCGCGGUUUGAUCGGUAAACCGUGAACCGGUAACUUUUUCGAUUCAAUGACCCAUCCGGUUCUGAAAACAUUGUAUAUAUACAUAAUUUUAUCAUUUUUUUAAGUUAUAUUUAAAAUUUUCAUAUAUUUAAUCAAUUUACUAAUAUCAAUAUUUCCUUACAUAUUUUAAUAGUCGUAACCAUACAAAAGAUUGUCAAAUUAAAGGAAACAACACAUGAAAUGAGGAUGUGGAAAAAAAAAACACGAUAACAACGAAAUCAUGAUUUGUUUUUUAUUAUUCAAUAUUAUUAUAUCAUAUUUACAUUUUUUUUAUAAAAAAAUUAUAUAUAUACAUAAUUUUAUCAUUUUUUUUAAGUUAUAUCUAAAGUUUUCAUAUAUUUAAUCAAUUUACCGAUAUCAAUAUUUCCUUACAUAUUUUAAUAGUCGUAACCAUACAAAAGAUUGUCAAAUUAAAGGAAACAACACAUGAAAUGAGGAUGUGGAAAAAAAAAACACAAUAACGACGAAAUCAUGAUUUGUUUAAGGCGAAGGAAAUAAUAGUGAGAUAGACAAAGCUUAUAAUAACAAAGUACUGACAUUAUUAAUAUGUGGAAUUUGGUUUUCAGUUUUUUUUUAGAUUUUUAUAUAUUAUAUCUAUAAAUCUUAAUUCAAAUCUAAGUAAUACUUAAUAGAACUAUGAUGUUUGUUUUUUUUUUUUUUUUGUUUCUUUUAUCUAAAUCUUAAAGCAAUUUGCUUAAAAAUUGAAAUCAUUUUUAAAAUUAUUUGUUUAUUUCAUUUUAAUAGGAAAAAUAAAUAAUUUUACUUUUAACUAUGUAUACCUUAGUGAUGGGAUCAAAUUCCCAACGCAAUCAGUUUGAAUAACAACAUAUGAUUGAAGACGAUCAUCGCUAAAAGCUCUAUAUUCCCCAACCCAAUCAGUUUGAGCUCAAAACCAAGCUGCAAUUCAACCUAGUUUUGCAAUGGAUUGCAUCAGAUUUGUUUCCAAGAAGAUAAAAAUAAAACGAAACUUGGAAUAAGCAUCAAUGAAGUGAAUGUGAAACUGAUAGCCAAUAGAGGAUUGUGUAUUUGACACUCCCCAAAAAUCUGACUGCAUUAAUUUGGAGCAGUUCCGUAUAUUGAGUUGCAGAUAAUGGAAAUGGGAAUUCAUGGAUUUUGCCCAGACAACAUGUUGAAUUGAAACUACUCAAUUCAACAGAAAAGAAGCUACCAUGAUGGAGGUUGAGGAGUACUCCAUUGUUGGCAGUGGAGGCUCUCAUACCGUCUGAAGAAGCUAAACCAAAAGAAAUUCCAGCAGAAAAGAAAUGCUUUUUCCCUCAUCUAAAUAAUUGAUUACAAAAUUCUAUACAUAGCUAAUUGUAGAACAAACUUUAAUUAUCUGGAACUGUGAUAACAAACUACUAAUUGGGUCAACCAACUCUCUUGGCAUGAUUUAUUUAGAGUCCAACACCAUGAUUUUUCAGGGACUAAAAGUGGAAAAUGGUCUUACAACAUCAUUGUUCGGAAACUCUGAAAUGAUGAAUCUGAAUGUUUUCGACAGUUUGCUUCUUGAAAUCACUCCUGUUUCUAGUUGCCAUGAACUUUCCCCAGUUGUACUCUUUAAAUUUAGGGGGGUUUUCCUCAUUGGUCAACUCCUCCAAUGGCUUCACAUUCACAUGAUGCACCGGUAAGAAAAAGAAUGGAAUCGAAAACCUUUCCUUCUCACUAUUCGCCACCACCAUGUGCUCCACGCUCUCAUAUUUAUCAUUGCUCCAAACCUGUAUAGUGUUGGAUAAAUAUUGAGAAAAAGUAACACCAAUUUCUCCAACAUGUUUUUCUUUUUUUUUAAAUAAUAAUAAUAAGAUACAAUAUAUAAGACCUAGCUAUUAUAAUACCUAUAAAAAAAACUCAAACCAAUCACAACAUGUCAUGUAUAUAAUUAAGUUUAUUUACUUCGUAUAUGAUUUCAUUUUUCUAGAUCUAGUCUCGAUACUUUUAUCCCUAUCCAAUGCUCUAGAUUUUAUCCUAUACUUUUGAGGAGGUUUUGAAUUGAUAACCUACAAUUUUCCAAUGUGUACAAAUGAAAUUGAAGUCAUUUGAUGGAUCAUACCUGAAUAAUAUCACCAACAUCAAUGAUAUAAGCAUUUGGAAUAGGCUUUACUCCAAUCCAUUCACCAUCAACUUUUCCCUUCACUUCCAACCCUGUGACACCAUCUUGAAAGAGAACGGUUAAAGCUUUGGCGUCCUUGUACCGACCCACAACGAGAGAGCUUCGGCCACGAGAACGGCGGAGAGUGAUAAUUGAGUCGGAUUAAGCUGGUUUGCCAUUGGAAUAACUCAUUCAACUAGUCCCCGGCCAAGCCUAAGCUUAAGAAGAUGAGUUCUAAGAACUUGUUGGCUAAUUUUUCUAUUUCUCCAACAUAUUCUUUCCAAAUUUUCAUGAAAAUAAGUCAUUAUAUAAAAUAUAUCAAUACUCAAAAUGAAUUUAAUAAAAUCUUGCCAUGCCUUUACGUCUCUAUUUGAGUUUGUUUGCCUUUGAGUUGUGCCUUUACGUCUCUACUUGAGUUUGAUCGACUUUGAGUCGCAUUUUUAUGCCUCUAGUUGAGUCUAUUUAGCUUCAAGUCGUGCCUUAACAGUUCGAGUUUAGUCUAUUCGGCUUCAAACCGCACUUUUACAUCUCUUUCAUCUUUGAGCCACGUAUUUAUGUCUCUAGUUGAUUUUGUUUGACUUUAAGCUGCACCUCAUGCCUUUAGUUGAGUCUGUUCAGCUUCUAGUCGUGCAUCUAUAUUUCAAGUUGAGUUUAUUUGGCUUCAAGUUGUGUCUUUACGUUUCAAGUUGAAUCUAUUUGGCUUCAAGUUGAAUCUAUUUGGUUUCAAGUCGCACCUUUACAUCUCUAGUUGAGUCAGUUCAACUUUGACCCACGUCUUUACAUUUCUUGUUGAGUUUGUUCAACUUCAAGUCAUGCUUUUAUGUCUCUAGUUGAGUUUGUUUAGUUUCAAGCCACAGCUCUACAUCUCUAGCUGAGUCUAUUCUGCUUCAAAACAUGCCUUACAUUUCAAGUUGAGUCUAUUCGGCUUCAAGUUGCGCUUUUGCAUCUCUAAUUGAGUCUAUUCGACAUUGAGCUACGCCUUUACUUUUCAAGUUAAGUCUAUUUAGCUUCGAGCAACGCCUUUAUAUUUGGAGUUGAGUCUGUUAGGUUUCAAGCUACGCUUUUACAUCUCUAGUUGAGUCUAUUCGACUUUGAGUCAUGCCUUUAUGUUUUGAGUUGAGUUUAUUCAACUUUGAGUUACAUUUUUGCGUCUCUAGUUUAGCAUGUUCAACUUGAAGCAAUGUCUUAACGUUUCAAGUUGAGUUUGUUCGGCUUUGAGUUGCGCCUUUACGUCUCUAGUUGAGUUCGGCUUCGAGUUGUGCCUUUUUGUUUCGAGUUGAGUUUGUCUUAACUUUGAGUCACACCUUUACGUCUCUAAUUGAGUUUGAUUGGCUUCAAGCUGCGUCUUUAUGUUUCAAGUUGAGUUUGUUCGGCUUCAAGUCGUAGCUUCAAGUCAUGCCUUUAUGUCUCUAUUUGAGUAUGUCUGGCUUCAAGCCACGUCUUUAUGUUUUGAGUUGAGUUUGUUAGGCUUUGAGUUGCACCUUUACGUUUCGGGUUGAGUUUGUUCAGCUUUGAGUCACAUUUUUAUAUAUCUAGUUGAGUUUAUUCGACUUCGAGCCACACCUUUGAGUUUCAAGUUGAGUCUAUUCGGCUUCAAACCACACUUUUACGUAUCUUGUUAAGUCCUAUUCAGCUUCGUGCUAUGCCUUUACAUUUCUUGUUGAGUUUGUUCAGCUUUGAGUAUCGUCUUUAUCCUUAUUAAGUUCAUUCGGCUUUAGUCGUGCCUUCACCCUUAUCCUUAGUUUUGAGCCUAUUUGACUUCAAGCCAUGCGUUUGUCCUUGUUAAGUUUAUUCGGCUUCAAGUCGCCUCCUAGUUUUAAGUUUGUUUGGCCUCAAGCCGCACAUUCCCCUCUAUUUGAGUUCAUUUAGAAUUUUCCCCUUCCUCGAGUUUAUUAUGACAUUCUCUUCCUUCAAUAUCAUUUUUUGUGAGUUAAUCACUUCUUAUCUUGGUUGUCCUUGAGUUGUAUGUUGUGUCACGAUCUAGUGUUGUUCAUUGCAUAUACACUCCCCACAUUAUUUGUAUCUUUAUCUUAAGUUUCUUCCUUAGUAUGUGAUCCUGAUCUUUGAGCUUAGCAUGCCAUGUGUUAUGAAAAAAUUAUGAGUUCUCUUUUGUUCUUCAAUGCAAUUCACUUCAUACCAUUCAUCACUCAUGUUUCACUCUUCGUGUUCAGUUCACUCAUGAACUAUAUCAAAUAAGGGCAUAUUUAUAGACCCUCCAUUUUGUCUCAUAGCACGUAUGUUUGCAUUUUUUAUUUUCCUCUCGCCCCAUGCCCAUUUUAAUUUGGUGUCCGUUUGGAUACUUCUUGCUUAAUCAUUCAUCAUCCCUUAUUAGUUCACAUUUACUUGGCUCAUUAAUCAUUUUUUAGCCACAUUUUGGAGGCCAUUUAGGGCGAUUUUGGGUCUAAGCUUUUUUUUUUUAGAGGCUCUCAGUAGAUGGCUCAUAAUGAGGACACGUGUUUUUAAAGGGGUCUUCUAGAGGCUUCUAGGGUCAGUUGGGAGAGCACGUUCUUAUUUAUAUAUCUAUUGUUUUGGAGGUGAGUUGUACACCAAGAGAAUGAGGGAGUAGAUGGAGGUUUUUUAAACAUUGUAAGAGGAGAUUCGUUUUGAUUGGCAUUUAUACCAAUAAAAUCUUGGGAUUACUGAGAACUCAACGGGACCUUCCCUCUCAAAUCAUACAAACUUGGCCAAAGAGGGGUGGGUACCAUUGAGUUCUUAGGCUUUCAUGUCGAUAACUCAAUUCAUCUUAUUACUAAAGGGAUGAACCCAAUCCGGAAUAUGAACCAAAAAAGAAAAUGUCUAUUAAAUUGAUGACAGGAAUACCAGUUACAGUAGCUAUUAGCCAAAAGGAAUCCUUCCAAGUUGGAGGUGGUUAGAGAGAGAGAAGGCUGGGCGAGAGAGAGAGACACGUAAAGAGAAUAUUCUCUCUGGUGAGGGUUUGUUAGACGGGAAGCAAGAAGCUUGAGGGUAGAGAGGACAAUCAGAGGAGGAGUUUGGAGGAAGAGG
RNAcentral lists this long non-coding RNA (46077 nucleotides) under Vitis vinifera (wine grape). Its description in RNAcentral is "long non-coding RNA (VVIN_LNC000686)". Lineage: Eukaryota; Viridiplantae; Streptophyta; Magnoliopsida; Vitales; Vitaceae. The record is from RNAcentral.